CGCUCUUCCGUAUUUGAUGCUGGGAUGUGAUGGAAGAAUCAUUGGUCCGUGUUUCUGAUCAAUCAUUGAUGUGUAAAACACUCCAUAAUUCUGAUCCCUGACAGUUGCGUAAUCUGACUGUUGUCCGUUUAAUGUCUGCUACUGUAGUUUCACAUGAUACUGUCUGUAGAAUCUAAGCAUUUGCUAUGAAAGUGGGUGAACUGAUUCUUGUUUCAUUUGAUUGCAGUGGAAGAAGAAGAGGAUGCGGAGGCUCAAGAGGAAGCGCCGGAAAAUGAGGCAGAGAUCUAAGUAGGCGCAUCUUGUGACCGAGGAUGGCGAGCUUCUCCUGCACCAUGGCUGUGACGCGUUGGGAUGAUUGUCUCCCUUUGUAGACGUGCUUUGCUGUAGACGUAGGCGAUGUAAACCGUCCUUUUUGAUUAAUUCUAGUAUGUUCUGAGACUGGGUUUAUAUUGUAAUUUGAGGAUAAUUAUAUGAUGCUCUAAGUUUAUUGAUAUUCCUGUCACUCGAAUAUGUUAGAUGUCCUUUCUUCAGCGUUGGUCAGUUCUGCUCUCCCCAUCUUUUGGUUCCUACUGUUCUCUUGGCUUUGUUUCCUGCUCAUCUAUGCUCUCCUGUCAGGUUCUCUAUGCGCCCUGCCAUUUUGAAAUUCAAAUUCAGUUCUGUUCUUUAGGUGAUUGAAUUUGAGAAAUUUACACUCGUAGUUUUGGUUGGCUGCAUUACUUGGAGAAGAUGUGGCGUGUCCACAUGUGGUGAAGUGAGUGGAUGAGGUGGAUCACGUGCGGGCUGGCGUGGCGUGGCGUUGCAGCAAUGCAGCUGCACCACUGCCUUAUCCGCUGGGGCCCCUCCCCUACCCAUGUCUUUGGUCCUAGCAGCCCCCUGCAGGGAAGCAUUUCAACUGAACUCAUCAAUUCCUUCAUCAUCCAUGGAGGCCAUGCCCAGGCCAAGUGUAGCUCCCUCGUUGCAGUUGCAGGCCCGUCCGUGCCCGAGGUGGCCGCGCCGGAAGCACUGCCCACCGUCCUCCGUGGCAAGCCGGAGGGUUGCUUGCUCGGCCUCGGCGGCCGACGCCGACGUGGUCGACCUCUUCGACGCCGCUAAGCUAACUGUAAGUGACACCUGACCUCGUUCGUAUGUAGCCCGUCUCCCUCUCUCUCUGUGUGUUUGUGAUUCCUAACGAGUUUUUGGUCACUUACCGCCUCCCUCCAGGUGGACAAGUUCGUGACGAGCGGCAUGGUGGUGGGGCUCGGCUCCGGCCCUGCGUCCGCCCUGGCCAUCCAGUACCUCGGCACGCGCCUCCGGCGGGGCUCUCUCGCGGGCAUCACCGCAGUGACCUCGUGAGUCCUGCUUGCUAUCUCUUCUCUUGUCUUCUCCGUGUCAUUGCUCACCUGGCAGGCAAUCAGUGACUGGCAUCUGUUCUAACCAGCUAGCUUCCUGGGAUUGACCAGCCAGGUCCGUGCUCAGUGCGAGCGAGGCAGACAAGGCAGGGAUACGGGCUAACAGCUACCAGGAAGGCACCCAGGUUAGCAAUAUGCAUGCGCGGCGGUGCUGCUGACACCUUCUUACUUGAAUGAACGGCCUCUGAAACCGAGCUCGCUGACCUAUAUAUAGAUUGAUUUUGCUUUCACUGAUGCUGAAGCGAUCGAGGAGGGCACGCUGGCCGCAGUCAUCGGGCGGCGGAAGACCGAGAGCGGAGAGCCCUCUUUCAUGGCGGAGAAGGUAAGCAGACAUUGAUUGAAGACACGGCACGAACGAGCACAUGAGUAAACGCUCUCUCUUAGCCAGCAACCAUGGCGUCUGUCUGUACAGGCGAUGGCUAAAUCAGCUCACAAGCUUGCCUUCAUCACUGGAAACGACAAGUACGUGACGACGGGCGUCGAGGGUUCUAUUCCGGUCCUGAUUAAAAGUGUAAGCAGCCAUGCGUUGCUUCAGCGCGUAUACGUAUCGUUUCCUUUCCAUGCAAAUAAAUAUUCAGAGGAGCAGGCCAUUUUCAGGGGAACUGGAUAGACACUGCUGAAGAGAUCGACGAUUUGUUUCUAGGAGACGCAGAGGUGCGUGUGUGUGCCUGUUGGAAUUUCAGUCACAACUUGAGAAGCUGCUGGGCUGUGCUGAUCACAUCACGAUUUUCUUAAUGGUGAUAUGAUGAAUGAAGGUUUGGAGGAGGCCGUCGUUUGGAACUGCUGGUCCACUUGGGGGUGACCACCCACUGGUUACCAAGGAGGGCCAUCACGUGCUCGAUGUUAUCUUCACAACACCAAUCCAAGAUCUUGGUACGCCGUAUGUGGAUGGAUGGUUGGAAGAUCUUCCAUCCCUUCCUCAACAACUGGGGAUCUUCAAUCCAGCGUAGCAACCAUGACGACAUCUUCGACUCCAGUCACCUUGAUCGCUGUCUUGUCUUUUUCUUUUACAGGUCAGGUUGCAGAGAAGUUGGACAAAGUUGAUGGCGUUGUGGAUCACGGGAUUAUUUGCAGCAACCAGUAAAUCUCUAACCGCACACACACACAACCUCUAGAAAAUUUUCGGUUGUCUUCACACUGCAAUCUGCUGCCCCUGCAGACCAUACGCUGUCAUUGCAUCCAAGGGGGAAGUGCAGGUCCUGGACGAGAAAUCUUCGGUGAUACAGUAGCGGUGAAACCUUUUUGGCUGCUCUGCAGAUUGUUGCGCUUUUCGGAACAGGAGUCUACUACCAGCUAGCUGGAAAAAAAAUGCCAUGAGUUAAUCAUGUACAACCAGAGCUCUUGUUCACCACUGGACAAUUCAGCCGGCAUCAGUUGAAGUCUGUGUUUCGCAUAAACUUUUUUGAACUGGUACUCAGUUAACCAGAUUCGAUGAAUGUGAGGCAGAGCUACAGCUUCAACUACUCUUCUAGUGUUUCAGGAGUUCGUCUCUUUUCAUAUGAUUGGUUGCCCGCGGCAUCUCAUCUCCUAUAUGUUUGGUUGCUUGUGUUUGGCGGGUGAUUAAAUUAGCACAUGCCUUCAUAACGUUUAUUAGUGUUUGGAAAGAUAAAAGUAACCGCGCAUAGGCGCUGGAAUAUAUGGAUUAGAUAUGGGCCGUCGGAUGAAAGAUCGAGGUUGCCUCGAGAGCCAAUGAACCGUUAGCCGUUGCAUAGGAAUUUUGUAGGAUUUGUAAGCUGUAGCCUUAGCAAAAUUUACUGCAUGUCCAUUUCGAACAAUGAAUUAAACCCUAUGAAAUUACUUUGGAUUACUAUAGCAUGUGUGGAACCGUAGAAUUUUUGGAGGAAAACUAGUAUGAAGUUAGACCUCUUGAAGAUUUUUUUGGAACGUAAUAGCAUUAGUUGUGCCUCUAAAUUAAGAAAAAUAGGGUCCAAAAACUACACAAGGUGCAUAAACAAUACAGACAACAACAAUCCCACACACCAUCCUAAAUCAUCAUUGUCGAGCUCAAAAUAAGAGACGAGCAGCUCCGACUCCCUUAGACGAUGACUACAAACUCGACGAUGACUACAAACACCAGCACAAAACGAGAAAGACAACGGUGCACCGUUGUUGCCAAGCAUCAAGACACCUCCGAUUUUUUACCAACGAGACUUCCAAAUCCUGAUCCUCCGCCCUGCCCUCGACAUUUGCCAAACCUUCGAAGCAAACCAGUCCACGAAGAAGAGGGUUCACCCCACGUCAUCGUUGUCGAGCCACAUCCUCUGACGUAGCAGUUUUGACUUCACGAUGCAACCUCCACCUCCACACGCAAACUGGUCACCAAAAAACGAAAACAACCACCGAAAGGCGACGACGUGAUCGAGACGAACUGCAAUAGUGACGCCUUCAGGAAGAAAGUGACGUCGGGGACAUCACCAUCGUCUGUCUGAAUUGAACCGAGGUUUCGCCCACAGAAAACAGUGCUGGGAAUACGACGCCUUCAAUAGGGAAGCGGAGCCCACAGACAUCGUCGUCACCGAGGCUUUUGCCCAAGAAAUCCACCAACACAACGUCUAGGGUGCGUGCACAUUCUUGGGCGUUGAGCGCAUUCACAAGACCCGCGAUAGUUGGACACGACGACGGGCGACGGCUUCGAGCGUGCUCAGCGUUGAGCACGGUGGCUUAGGGUUUGCCUAGGUCCACCUUGUCACCUCUUGUUGAGCUUGUUGAAGGUAUUUAUGUUUUUUAUUGAGGGCGAUAUGCUCCUCUGCCCUUCAAUAGCAGCUUACAGCAAAUAAGUUUUCUGAUUCUGCAAGGGGGAAAUAUAGUUGACCUCUUUGCGCAUAGUGAAUAGGAAUCGGAUAAUGAUAUAAUUUUGCUCCCAUACCAGUUACCACAGAUCGAAGUAGGUACCCUUCCUUUUGUAGUACAUGAACAUUGGACUGGUGUAUGUUUCGAAUAGUAUCAUAUAUCAGAAUAAAUUACUCAUUUCGAUCGAUAUUCUGGAACAGAAGAAUCAGUUAAUAAAUCACUCUGAACAAAAGUAACAGGGGCUCCGUAAUUUAUGGUCAUGAUGUCCCUCCUUAGUGUUGGUCACGUACUAGUGUGAGUGGCAAGCUAGUGCGGUGUUUGCCCCCUUAGCUAUUUUGAAUAGCAAGAGAAUUUGUCCUCAUAAAUCCCAUCCAUUUUCCUGGUCACCAAAUCAUCCCUCAGGGUUAUAUGAGUCAUCUAGACUUCUCUUCUUGACAUAAUGAUGGACAACUCUUAUGUGUGUUCAGAAAAGAAAAAAAACAAAACUAACAGGGUGGGCAAAUCUUUUUAUAACAGCUAGAAGAUGAUAUUCCGUGCACUAGGAUGGAUGGAUAAAAAAAAGAAAUUGCAGCCUAAUUCCUCAUACCACACCCAAAUCGGGCAUGCGAAGAAAUGCCAACAAAUACUAUAUUAAGCAAGAAUGAAACCCUAAAAAGAGUCGAGCAUGAUGGAGGGAUGUAGCCUUGAGGGCUGCUCAGCUCAUGAUGUUUUCUUAAUUUCUUCACUCACACGAAUUGGGGAUCUGUAUAGGUUACUCAAGAACGACGGCCGUCUCGACACCAUAGCCGACUUGUGGAUAGCCAUGGAGGCCGCGACUGACGGGAACUGAUUUGAUUGCAUGGAGCAACAGAAACCGUUGCCUCGCCGGUUGAGCAUUAGCGUCGAGCCGUCCUUGGCGACGAGGGAGCACAUUCCUGCGCAGCCACAAGAUCUUAAUUUUGUUCGGUAUAACAGUUUUGUGUACAAUAUUAUUCGACAUCUAGAGUGUGUGCGCGUGUGUAUGUGGAGCAUUUUCAUUUCGGUGUGGUGGAUUUACAUACCAAUGCCUCAUCUAACACAGUACUACAGAUUCAAUACUAAUAUCCAUGCUUACCUUUGUUUCAAUGUUACAAGCUCAAUCGUGUAACUUUGCAUAUGAAGCAGCAACACCAUAAUUGCAGCCUCACAGGAAAACUUAUGAAUAUGUCAUGCUCCCUAUAGACGCCAAUAUCUUUACACAGAUUUUUCUUUUGGUCUUCCGUGUGUUUCUCAUGCUUGAGAAAUAGGCAUAUCCCUACAGGACAGUAUACAUGUUGCUUCAUCAGAUAACAUAAAAGAGUUGGGGAAUAUAGUGUGGUAGAAAAUGAAGUGACCCAGAAGUUCAAGACAGAAAUGCAGGGACAGCUUACACAGAAAGCUAUUGUCACCGGACUAAAUACGGACCCUUGGCUAGGCCCAAAGAACGGCCCUGGGCGCGCGCACAACAAGUGGGUGAACGACGGCCCUAGGGGAGCCAUCAGCCUCCUCCCUGUAGCAGUCCGGAGUAGGUAAGAAUUAUAAUUAAAAGAAAAUAGAGUUUGUUUAGGAAAGAAGAAUCCAAAUCUAUAGGAACACUACCUACAGGUUGCAUGGAGGAUAAGUCCAGAUUGCUUAGAGGUCAAGUCCUCUUGAAACCAUAAAUAUAGGGGUCAUGUAACCAUUUGAAUCUUAAACAUAAAUAGAGUAUGGCAAUUCCCUAAUCCCUUUCCCUCUUCUCAGCCUCGGUCUUCUUCGCUCACUCUGCACCGCCACCCCUCUCCAUGUGUCUUUACGCAGCCUGAGAAUGGUCAGGUUCAGACACCAUAUAUAUUAGCAUAAAAAAGAAGGCCUGGAAUGCCUUUAUCCAGCCUGAGAGUAUGAAUAAUUUAAUACAUGAAGUGCCAAACAAGUUACACUCACCACCUUUUUCUCAUGCAAAUGUCAAACUGCAUACACAAUUGCACAUACUGCUUUUCAACAAGCAGUGGUCUGUAUAACAAUGUGUUCUUCCUUGAAUUUCCAUCAGAAGGGCAUAUCAGUGCCACUAGGACAAAUCAUAUUGCCAGAACCUUCAACAAGAUAAUGAUACAAGGAUUAAAAUUAAUGUCACAAUGGAGAAAAUCAGACAACAGCUAUGGUUAUACAUAGAUAUGUCUUACAAAUAUAUCUAACCUAAAGAGUAGCAUUCUAGAGUCUGGACAACACAGAAAGAUAUGGCAGGAGCUCUUCCUUUUAAUUAGGAUAAGGAAAAGCAUAACAAAGUAGAAUAAUUAAAAUGGCUUUGUUGUUCCACGACAGAAAACACAUACUACAAGUGGAGACACAUCAAAUCUACCAACACUCCCAUUUAGCUAGUUUUUAUACUACUUGAAGGGAAAACAAAAGAUGCUGCCACUUUGAUCAUUCGCUAUAACAAAUUACUUGAAGGGUAAACAUAUGCUUCCAUUUUUGUAUAUUUAUUAUAACAACUACCUACAGCCAGUGGCUCAAUGGCAUGUAUGAAUCCUAUGUUGAAGUGAAAAUACAUGCUGCAUUUUGUAUAUUUACUAUAACAACUACCUACAGUCAGCGGCUCAAUGGCCUGUAUGAUUCCUAUGUCUAAUUACAUUUAAGUUUGAGCAUGGAUUAGCAGCAAGGCAGGAACAAGAUCUUUUAUUAGUAAAAUAUUAUCACUCUAUUCAAGAAAGUUGCUAUCAUUAGGUUGAAGAAAUAAUUAAGGUGCAUAGAACAUCAAACAAUCUCUUUGUACUUUUUAAAUUCCACCUGUGUGUUGUUAUCUGGGUGCAUGGGGUGACAUAGAUCUGGUCUGGGAACAUAGCCUUCCUCUCUUAGUUCUUGAAGCAGGGUCUUCAAGGACGUGUAGAUAUCUUCAGACUCAGGGUGGCUUUUAUCUGAUGCAACAAAUAAAUGGCUGCUGUUAUUAACAUCUACCCAGCUGUACCCAGGUAUCUUCAGGAUCUUAUUAUCCUUCAUCAAUCUUCUAACUUUUGAUACACCAUCCCAUCGCCCAGCAACUGCAUUGAUAUUGGACAUGAGCACAUAAUAACCAGAAUUAGCAGGGUCCAACUUGAACAGUUCUUGGGAAGCGAUGUCCGCAAGUUCAACAUUGCGAUGCACACGGCAAGCAUGGAGAAGAGCACCCCAAAUGCCAGCAUCUGGCUUGAAAGGCAUAUCAGCAAUAAAUUGUAUAGCCUUAUCUAACUUCCCAGAACGACUGUAUAGGUCGACCAUGCAAGCAAAGUGCUCCAUUCGUGGUGCAAUCAGAUAUUUCUUCGUCAUGCAUUGAAAAAGUUGGACACCUUCUUCAACCAGCCCAGCAUGAGCACAAGCAGAUAUCAAAGCAAGAAAUGUUACAUGAUCUGGCUUAUAUCCUUCCUCCUGCAUACCAUGUAACAAGCUCACUGACUCUUUAACAAGACCAUGAGCCCCAUAGGCUGAAAUUAUACUGUUCCAUGAUACUUCAUUCUUAUCAGGCAUGAAUUCAAAAACACGAAGAGCCAACUCCAAGUUCCCACAUUUCGCAUACAUAUCUAUCAGAGCGCUCUCAGCAAAUAUGUCUGCCUUUAUAGGACCCUUUAUGGUAACACCAUGAAUCUCCUUCCCAUAAUAUAUAGCUGGUAAACUUGCGCAUGCGGAUAGGGCAGCAGAUAUGGUUAUAUUAUUGUACUUUAUUCCUUCCAUACACAUCUGACGGAAAAGAUCUAGAGCUUCUUGUGGUUUUCCAUUCUGUGAAAAGCUUGAAAUCAUCGAGUUCCAUGUCACCUCAUCCUUCUGAGACAUUUUUAAGAAGAUAUAAUGGCUCAGGUCAAGUCUGCCACACUUUGCGUACAUGUCCAUCAGUGCACUCUCCACAUAACAUUUUCUUUCAUAUGCGUUUCUUAGAACAUAACCAUGGAUCUGCUGACCAAGAGGCAAAGCCGCCAUGCUAGCACACCCUGGCAAGACGCUAGCUAUAGUAACAGCAUUUGGUUUGAUGCACUGUUCUAACAAAUAUCGGAACAUUUGCAGUGCCUCUUCACUCAUCCCAUUAAGAACAUAACCUGAUAUCAUCGUACUGCCAAUAACCACAUCGAUAGCCCUAGCCGCAUCAUAUAAAUUCUGUGCCAUCCUCACAUCCCUGCACUUGAAAUAGAUGUCUACCAAAGCACUCACCAAAAAGACAUCCAUGUUCACACAAUUCCUGACAAUAUAACCGUGUACCUCCUUACCCUGCUUGAGACCAUUCAAGUCGGUCAAAGCCGGCAGCAAACUCACUAGCGUAAUCGAAUCUGGUCGAGCGCCACUCCUCUGCAUAUCAUAGAACAAUCCAAAAGCUUCAACGAAAAGGCCAUUUUGAACACAUCCUGAAAUCAUUCCAUUCCAGGUUACCAAGUCAUCCUGUGGCAUCAGUUCAAACAAUCUCCAUGCAUCAUCCAAGCACUGGCACUUGGCAUACAUCGCCAGCAAUGUGUUAGCCACUGCCACCUCCGGCUCUAAACCACAUUUCACCGCCAGAGAGUGAAGUUGCGCCCCAGACAGCAAGUCAGCGUCAGUGGCACACACAGACAGAAAGCACGCCAGAGUCGCGAAAUUGGGCUCACAACCAGAUGCCCUCAUGUUCCGGAAUAAACGCACCGCGCCAUCCACGUCACCUGCCUUUAUGCACCCGUCCAUCAUCACGUUCCACAAAACGCAAUCCCUCUCUGGUAUUCCGUCGAACGCGUCGCGGGCGUUCCCGAGGAGGCCAGCGUCAGCGUACAUCUUGACGAGCGCGCUCCCAACGUAGACAUCGUUGGCGAGCCCGAUCGCCCGCGCUGUGCGGUGGACUAGACGGCCCAGGGACAUCGCUCCGAGCGCGGCACAGGACUUGACGACGUAAGGGAGGGUGUGCGCGUCGGGGCUCGGCGCGGCGGGGUGGGACCACAUCUUGACGUAGAAGAGGACGGCGAGGUGAUGCUGCCCGGCCGCGGUAAACCCGCGGAUGAGCCAGUUCCACGGCAGCGACGAUGCGGCGGCGGCGCGCGGGAGCGCGGAGAACACCGCGACGGCGUCGCGGAACCGGCGCGCGAGGACGUACAUGCCCAGGAGCCGGGUGUGGAGCGCCAGGUGGUUGUGGUCGGAGAGAGCGCCGGACACGACGGCGCGAGCGUGGAUUUGGAGGCCCAGCGGGAGGUGCGGCGCGGAGACGCAGCCGCGCAGGACCGCCAGCAAGCGGUCAGCGGAGGAGACAUCCGUGACGGCCGCCGUAGCGGAGAAGGUGGUAGAGCAGAAUGGCCGCGGCGGCAGCUUGAGGCCUGAGCGAGCGAGGCGCAUGGCGAAUCGGUGACCGACCGCAACGAGGCCGUCGUCGUCGUCAAGAAGAGAAGCCGAGGCGGCCGACUGCCCAAGCGUGGGCGGAGAAAUUUGGUAUUAUGAAACACGACGGAUGCGGUUUCGACGAAAUAGAGGCUUAGGCAAGGGUUUCUCCGUUAUAGAAAUGCUGGGCAUAGCCAACACUUUAAAAUGGAAAUGACAGCUCUAUUAACAGGUAACGACGACCUCAAACUCACGCCGUUAUAUUUCCGUUACCAUAUACGUAGGCCUGCUCUUACCCAGGCGGCGGAGGUAGAUGAGCGCGGGGCGGAGCUGGUCGCGGACGCUGCAGGCCAGCACGCGCGGGCACUUGAUCUCCACGCGCCGGUGCGCCGACUCCGGCACGCCCAGGUCCGCGGAGAGGAAGGCGAACACGGGGCGGAGGUCGGCGCGGACGCUGGCGGUCAGCACGGACGGGCACAUGCCGGGUUCUGCUCCAGCGCGCGCCCAUAGUCCACGCCCAUCAGUCCACGCCCAUAGUCGGCAGCUGUGGCAAGCAGGGGGAGGACGCAAGGAGUCUUACGGCGCAGACGCCAGGACACGUGUGGGAGCUUGCUCGCGCCAUGAACUGGGAGAGCGAGCAGAGGAGAGAACAGACUUCUGGUGACGAACAGACUAUGGGCAGACCAAAAGUUCAUGGUGACGAACAGACACCAGAUUCUUCUAAACAGAAGCAAGAACUGACUUUUCUUGACAAGCAGACCAAAAGUUCUGAGCAAUUGGUAUCUUGUGAUGUAGAAGUACAAGAACCAGUGACUGUUGGAACUGAAAAGCUAUCUGAUAUGAAUUCAAAGAAAGAUCACGAGGUUGGUUCUUCCACCGGAUCUGAGAUGACUGAACAACCCAAGGUUGUUAAAGACAAUGAGAGUCUAGUAGCAUCUGAGUUAUCCCCAGAGACAAAUGAUGGUGAUAAAAAGCAGCUAACAGAGUCUGGCAAUAUAACUGCUGACGAAUCAUCAAAACCAAUCGAUACUAAACCUGCUUCUGUUAAACCAAAGAGGGGCCGACCUCCAGCAGCAAAGUCUCAGGAGAAAAAGCCUGUUGGAAAGAAACAGGCAUCAAACCUAAAAUCUCCAAAACUUGAUCCUGUCACUGAUUCUGUAGGGAGAGCUACCAGGCAACUGAAUAAUGAUGUUGCAAAGUCUUCAUCAACUAAGGCUGUUGAUGGAGAAUCUGGGAAGAAGCAACAUAAAACCAGUAUGAAAUUUCAGAAAGAAGAUGCCGCCUCUGAUAAAGACACCGAUGAUGAUAUUAGUUUGAAGGUACCUUUCUUGUUUAUUAAGCGACGCCUUAAUUCCAUCACUAAAAUCGUUCAUCAUGUUUUGACCUUUUCUGUUUACACUCCCCCCUCUCUAAUGUGGUCUUCCACAAUGACUUGAUUUUUUCAUCAAUUAUCAUAAUUCAGGAAAUGGUGUCCCCAACACGGAUUGAUAAAUCAAAAGGCCAACAAGAAGAUAGAUGGACCCCUGUAUCGAAGGAAACGUCUGCUGGAAGCUCAAGAUGUAUACAUGCUUGACACACAGUGAAUUGUCUUUGACCUUAUUUCUGUUUCAGUUUGUCAGAACCUUUUCUGUUCUGUUGGCAGACCCCUGUAUCGAAGAAAAACAAAAUGCUUGACAAAAACCUUAUUGGCUCAAGAAUUAAAGUUUGGUGGCCAGAUGACAAAAUGUAAGGCUGAUGAUCAACAUAUGUGUUUCUUAUCAGUAAUUGUGUGAACACACCUUAAUUUGGUAAGGCUGAUGAUCAACCUUAAUUUGUCAUCGGGCGCUCGGGAAAAAACAGGGGCUGGGGCGCCAUGGGGAAGAACCUCGGCUGACAGAAAACAGGGCGCCGAGGGAGAUCAGGGAGAAGCUCGGCGCACAGAGCUCCACGGCGAGCUAGAGCAAGAGCAUCGGGGCAAGCCAGGCGCGGCAGGGGAGGAGGAAGAAAGAGCGCACAGGCAGCCGGACUUGGGCAGGGGCGAGCUCCACAGAGAAGAAGCCGAGCGCCAUUGGACAGGAAAACUUCGGCAGGGGAGGACGCUGAACACAGCGCGCGCGCAGACAGAGACCCAGGCGGCGGAGGUAGAUGGAGGAGAAGGGGACCGGGAUAGAGGAGACCGAGAAGGAGAUCUAGCGACGGAGAACGGACGGCGACGAGGCUGGGGACGGAACCAGGUUAAUAAAGUUGUUAACCUGUUAAUAGAGCUGUCAUUUCCAUUUUAAAGUAUUGGCUAUGCCCAGCAUUUCUAUAACGGAGAAACCCUCGCCUAAGCCUCUAUUUCGUCGAAACCGCAUCCGUCGUGUUUCAUAAUACCAAAUUUCUCGCGUGGGCGUGGCUGCUGCGUGCAAUCGUGGUCGGGCACGGGAUGGAUUUUCCCCGCGAGGCUCGUCAAAGAAGACCCAAAAGGGCAAUAAAAUCUUGUGGCCCAUGAAGAAUUACGCAGCCCAAUAGCCCAGUAGACAGGGAACGUUCAAGAGUUCACAGUUCAUCUCAACAAGCCUCUAGUUUUCCAGAUACUCUCACACGCCACAGAGAGGCCGAGGUGGUUCGCUCGCCUAGCUUCGGGGGUCCUGGGACAUUGCCAUGGGUUUUCCAGAUACUCUCACACGCAUUCAGUUCAAAGUUGAUGUCUGUUGAUACCCAAAAAAUCUCUCAAAAAUGUUUGCAGAUACAAAUAUUCUCUCUAAAUUUGACAGCAAAGAGUGUCGUCGUAGUUUGAAGAACUGGUAUACCUGAUGCAUAAUCCUGUUUUGAGUUUACAAGAUUCUGGAGACCGCCACAAACUUUUUGGCGUUUCAGAAAGGUCAUGAGCAGCAACGGUGUCGUGUGAGCCCAGUAUUACCAGCAACGACCCCACGUGCAGGUACAUUGCUGAAGUUCCAACUUAAGGCUUCCCUCCAAAUCCACAUAUAGAUUAGUGUAGAAAAUGAUUAAAUGAACGUGUGUUCCUCCUCGGUAUCAGGGAAGCACAACACAGUGGCAAGAAAGCUAGAGACAAACAUCCAAAAAAAAUCCAACCCUCAAGAAUUAAAGGGGUGUUUAUGAUUGCUCCAUGUUCCAACUUUAGCUUGGGGUUGUAGUUUAUAAUAUAAAUUUAAAUAUAUUUUUAAUCUAAAAUAUAAAUAAAAUGACUUAUCAAGAUAUUUUCUAAAGGUUCUGCAGGUCUAGGAUUUUCUGGAUCACCUAAUAAACCUAAUAACCUGCUAUGCCAGCUCCACCAAAUUAAUUUUUUAAAGUUAGAUCAGUCCCAAAUAGAACCUAAGCAGAACAUCAAAGCAAGUCCUCCAUGUUAUGUAGCUUCCUCUCCUUGACAAAAUCUUAAAGCCACUUUCACUUGGCGUGUCUAUUGUCUAAUAAUCCUCCAGACGUCCACGUUCAGCUCCUUCAACAAAGUCCGCCACUUCUGCAAGACAGGACAAUUUCGUACAGAACUUUAUCAUAAGUUGUCCACAUCACCUAGACUACAAUUGCAAAGAUAAAGAUUUUGAAAUCAUAUAACCGCGACCCUGUAGGUAAUCAAGUUUCAUAAAACCUUUUAGUACAACAAGGAGGCAUCUACGAUCAAACUAGGAAACAUAUUAUGAGCUCAUGGAGCCUCCGGGCUCAUAUGACCACUUUAAAUGUUCUGUAUCCGUGAGCAAUCCAAUUUCACUUACCUCCUAUGCCAUCAGAGCUGAGGCGGGAGGGGAUAAGUGAAACAUUGUCGGCCUCGUUGGAUUGAUCAUGAUAUACCGGAUUUAAAGUACUCAUGUGAGCACGAAGGCUCAGUGAGCACAGCAUAUAUUCCUAUCAAACUAUUACUGUGCUACUGAUCAUCAUACUUUGAGCUAUUCCUGUAAUGAUAAUCAAAAGAAAGUGAGAAAAGAAAACACAAAAAGAUCAGUAUUCUGAAUCAUAAAGAAUCCAGAGAAUUACAUAGUCAUAAUCACAGGGCAGUGCUUGGAAUGAGCUCCAGCUCCAGCUGCUCUGGAUUGAUAAUCUGGGAGCAGAAGCCCUUCCAAACACUGCCCUAACUUUCCAUCCUAAUCAAAAUAACCCAUCAAAGCAAAACCCAACACUAUGCCUGAAAUAUCAUCACUCUGUGCAUUUAAAUUAGAUUGUUGUGUCAUGCUGUAACAACCAUUUGCAUUAGAUAGUGUGUGUUAGCAGCUUGAAACCAACAAACCAUAAGAUAGUGUAGAGAAUCAGUGUACUUCUGUACUUUGAAUUUUAUCACUGCGGGAAAAUUUAUUUUGCUUCUGAAAACCUGUUCUUAGCUCAGACAAUGGUAGUGCAAAACAAAUAUUGACAGCAUGACAUUUCAGAUUCUUUGCAGUUGAUAGUGCCCUCAAACUUGCCACAGAGAAUCUGAUAACAUUUCAACCAUGAAACCAUGCGAAGGAACCAAUCUUACUGUGUCUUUCUACGCCAACCCAUGUAGCAACAGAAAGAAGAUGAAGAAAUCACCAUUUCACUUGUUAAAUCCCUGAAGCGCAUUGGCGACUCUCGACCUCAGCCGGUCAAGCUUUCCGCUCGCCCUGGUCUCCGCCAUCCGCUGCCUCUUCAGCUUCGCCUCCAGCCGCGCCGCCGUGUCGUCACCGAUGCGCCCGAAUGCCCUCUUCAGCGCCCCGUAGCCGCACCUCGCACCAAUCGCCUCCACCUCCGCGGAGAGGCAAGGGUACAGCUCGGCCAGAUCGUCGAACCCUCUUGGGUCAUUGCGCGCGUCGGGCACACGGGUCUUCUUCUCUAUCCUCCCCCUGCGCGUGCCCUCCCAGAUGAGCUUGGAGAGCCUGUAGAUGGUGACGUCGCUGUCCUUCGCCGGGAUCGUGCCGCGUUUGAGGCGGAUAACGGUGUUGUCGUACCGGUUGCGGAGCGCGCACAGCCGCCUGGUGAUCUGCGCGGCGCUGAGGCGGUCCCCCACGCUGAGGCGGCCCCGCACCGCGGCGGCGAGGUCGUCUGCCAGGGGAAGUCGCCCGUGCUUCUGCCGGUGCGACGCGACGGUCUCGAGGAUCGCGAUCUCGUCGGAGGCCGGCCACGAGCGCACGGGUGGGCGGGGUUUCUUGAAAAUGAUGGGCUCGGACUCUGAAGAGCCGUCUGAGAGCAGCGAGGAGGCGGCGGAGUCGUCGGAUUCAGGAGGAGAGUCGAAGGACGUCGAAGGUGAUGGCGAGGGGUCAAGAUGUUCGUCGGAGCCGAUGGUGGUGCUGCCGUCCGAGGACGCAGACGAGGGGUGCUCCUCCGAUGUCAUCGGCGGCGGCGGCGGCGGCGGCGGCGAGGGUUUACGAAGCUAUGGUUUGAGUUUUUUUUUGUUUUUUUUUUCGUUUGGGCUUGAACGGUAGACAAGGCUGGGCAGCUGCUUGAGCCAAACGGGGAUAGAGCCAAAGAGGUGGUUGAGCUGAGUUCCAGCCUUCCAGGCACGCAAGCAGAAGCAGGUCGCCAGGGCCCAGGGCUAGCAGGGAGCCAGCCAGCCAGGUAUUGCGUCGCCAACAGGCACUAGCCAAAACAGGCACUCCCGACUCUAAGGCUGUCUCCAACAGGCACUAGCCAAAACGGGCAGACAUUCAGGCCGUUGGCUUGCCACAGUAAUUUAGCUGGCCAUCCAUACGUUCGUCGUAUCCAACGGAGCAGCUAAAAUAGCUGGUUCCCAGGGCGAGUGGCCAGAAGCCUCAGAAAUGGGUCCGGAUUGUCAGAGACGAAGGGGGAGAAAAUGGCUGCCGGCUCUGAACCAGCGAAUCUGGCUUUUCUCUCUCAUCCCCUCUAAAAUAGCUGCUCCUUUUGGUUGUGUUGUUGGAACCUGUUUCUAAUCGCUACAGUAGCACCACGGCAGCCAUAUUGGCUUUGGCUGGCCGUUUGGCUGCUCCGUUGGAGUUAGUCUAAUAUAUAGUGAUGAUGGUUGUCCCCUUUGUUCAAGUUUCAAAUUCUAAUGGGUGAUUGCUACUACCUAACUUGAUAGAAUCUUCUUUCUAUAGCAAACCAACAAACUCCUAUUUCACUUGCUGAAAUAUUUUUCUUCUAAUUGAUUGACUGAAUAGGUGUAUAGCUUCCUCUUGUAGAUUAAACCUGGUAUACCUCAUUGUCACUGACUGUGCUGUAUAUAUUCAGACUUGUCUAUUUCAAUGGCAGCAGGUAGCAAAAUAAAAAGGCAGAGUGGCGACAUAGGCAGCAUAACGGAAAAAAGCCCGACAAUAGUCUCUAGCAGGCUAGCAGCAACGUAGGUUGUCGUCGUGGGCCUUCCGUAGUUGGGCCAAUUUUCAUUUUUUUUAGUUUUCAAUUAGGGGGACAGUUGGAGUUGGAGAAAUACGAUCUUUCACUCCUAAAACUUUUAGUGUGCUUCCAAUAAUCAGUUUUUAGGGGUGAUUUAUUAGCAUUCUCUUGGAGUUGCUCUUAGUAUUUUUGUUGCGGGUAUAACUUUAGCAUCUUGGUCUCUAAACAGGGCCUUAGUACUUGUCACAUGUAUAACGGUUUCGAGGAUAUAACGGGAAACUCUGUCGGAGAUCAAAAGAGAUUUAAGCGAAUUAAAUCACUCUCUAGUUAUAAUUGAAUAAAAGGGAAUUAAAUCACCUUCUAUCCAUACACAACCUAACAUCAUUUUAGGAUUUCGAGCGUUUCCCCAUGCGAGCAAUUCACUUGAGAAAUCUCCACCGGAUAUUUUUUUUCGAUCCGUUUGGAAGCUCGCACCACCCAACCCCCAAAAUAGAUUGCCUGACCUAUCGACAUCGGGCAUAUUUCCUUGCCGACCGUACUCCCUUCACGGCAGCCUGACCUAUCGACAAUUUCUCAUUUGACACACAGUUUCUGUGUUAUUUUCUUAAAAAUAUAAAUCUCCUCUGAUACUGGAUGUAGAUUUAGAAAAAUCCUGAGAAUGGUGGACGGCAGCUUGAGAUCUUGGCUCCUACCAAUGAACGGUUCAUGUGGGCGCAGCACGUGAACCGCUCAGAGAUAGAGCGCAAGCAAAUGGAGAUUAGUAUCUCGGAAGUCGGAAACGGUUCGAUUCCAUCGCCCCCAAAUGUGCUGGUAGGAGCCAUUGGCCUGAAAAGGCCUUCGCUUUUGGACUCCGCCUCCGCCCUCCGGUACCUAAACAGAAAAAAACGCUCUGCUUCUCUCGUGCCCACGCGAACAUGACUGAUGCAGACUGACACAGGCUUUCACACAAAAGAAGAAGAUAAAAUCACUCCCUACAAAUACUCGUCAGGAAUUACAGGAGACCAGCACCACCAGUGUGAAGCCUACUUUGACCCAUUACAGUAGUUACAUUACAGUGCCCGCAGUCGAAGCACAGGCGCAACCCCAGCGGAAGCUUAACCAAUUACCAAUCCAUGACGCAAGCCACGAGAAGCAGAGAAAAGAAACAAACAAACUCAUUCACAGAGACACAACCUGUCGGAUGCGGUGGCCCUGAAAAAGGGCACCGGAGGUCAUGGCUAUUCUGCCACGUUCUCCUCUUCCUCUUCGUCCUCGUACUCCUCGUCGGCGGUGGCGUCCUGGUACUGCUGGUACUCGGCGACCAGAUCGUUCAUGUUGCUCUCGGCCUCAGUGAACUCCAUCUCAUCCAUCCCCUCGCCGGUGUACCAGUGCAGGAAGGCCUUGCGCCUGAACAUGGCGGUGAACUGCUCGCUCACCCUGCGGAACAUCUCCUGGAUGGAGGUGGAGUUCCCCACGAAGGUCCCCGCCAUCUUCAGGCCCCUGGGCGGGAUGUCGCACACGCUCGACUUGACGUUGUUGGGGAUCCACUCCACGAAGUAGGACGAGUUCUUGUUCUGGACGUUGAGCAUCUGCUCGUCCACCUCCUUGGUGCUCAUCUUCCCGCGGAACAUGGCCGAGGCCGUCAGGUAGCGGCCGUGGCGGGGGUCGGCCGCGCACAUCAUGUUCUUGGCAUCCCACAUCUGCUGGGUCAGCUCAGGGACCGUGAGGGCACGGUACUGCUGCGACCCACGAGAGGUCAGCGGAGCAAAGCCGACCAUGAAGAAGUGCAGACGAGGGAAUGGGAUGAGGUUCACGGCAAGCUUGCGCAGAUCAGAGUUGAGCUGACCCGGGAACCUCAGACAGCAUGUCACGCCACUCAUGGUAGCAGAGAUAAGAUGGUUCAGGUCACCAACUGCAAUGUUGCAACCCACCAUCAGUGUUCAGUACCAACCUUCUCAAUAGAAAACAAACUGCAGGAUAUCAAAUUUCUAAAGAAUCAGUGAGGAUUAACUUACAGCUCGGGGUGGAGAGCUUUAGUGUGCGGAAGCAUAUGUCAUACAGAGCCUCGUUGUCAAGCACCAUACAUUCAUCAGCAUUCUCAACGAGUUGGUGAACAGAAAGUGUAGCAUUGUAAGGCUCCACAACAGUAUCUGAGACCUUUGGUGAUGGGAAUACAGAGAACGUCAACAUCAUUCUGUCUGGGUACUCCUCCCUGAUCUUGGAAAUAAGAAGGGUGCCCAUGCCAGAUCCAGUGCCUCCUCCCAAGGAAUGGCAAACUUGAAAACCUGUAAGUAAAGUCAGUCAAUUAUCGACAAACACAAACAGUAUUCCUGAAAAAUUGUAACUGGACAACGUGGUUGAAAGAUACAUCAACCCUUGAAGGUCUAGAGAUGUCAGAAUUGUGAGUUUGUGACACAUUCUAUGUUACCAGCGUUUGUUUGUUAAAAAAAUCAUCAACCAUGUAUUCAUGUUACCAUGGUUAAGUGAUAUUUUGAACUCAGUCAAUUUCACAACAUACGCUGUCAUGCUCUGGUGGCCCAUGGACCAAUCUUGACAUGCUACCAAAUACUUCACCUGGGCACACCAUUGUUUAUAUCAUAACACACAAGAUAUAAGAGUUAAAUUUCAAGAGACAAAAAGUUAAGCACUGCUAUAUUCACCAUGUAGAGAUGGAAUCUAUUUUGUUUGGUGUUGGCCAAAGAAUUCUUCAGACCGGCUACGACACAAUAUCUAAUUUGGUUUUUUUAAUAGGAUACAGAUCAUUAGAAGUUGUAGGCUCCCAGAGUGGAACUCCAAGCUAACACACCUAACAAUCAUGUUACUUUAAUCAAAUAUACAUCCUAGCGACAGCCCAGAGAAAAGGUAGGAGUUCAACAAGAAUCAACAAGAUUAUUCAUGAAGAGUUGAAGACAGACAAAUUGAUUAGAAAACAUGUUCCAUUGAAAGCUCCAAUAUAACCACAAAUAGACCAAACACGAUAAUUUUAUUACUAUAUCUAUUAUUUUUCAUGUUCGAAGUGACCUGACGCAUACUGUACGAAUGCUUACCCAUUAACAGAAAUUAUCAAUCAUCAUUCCAUCAUGCUAGGUGGAAAAAAAAUGGCCAAACCCGCAGCGACAAGCAAUACUUUCAAUGCAAGCACUGCCAUAACAAUUAACAAGCUACCUAGAGGCUAAUGCCUAACAAUAACACGGGCCAGUUGCCGUAUUCAAAAAAGCACCUCGCUGAAAUGCCAAUUGGAGGUCAUUUUAACAGCAUUCACGUACCGACAGGCUCAGAUCUGGACUAAAUCUAACGCCCCCCACAGGGUUAACCCUAAUAACCGAAAAAAGGGCUAAGAAAUAAUAAUCACCCUGGAGGCAGUCGCAGUUCUCGGCCUCCUUGCGGACGACGUCGAGGACGGAGUCGAUGAGCUCGGCGCCUUCGGUGUAGUGUCCCUUGGCCCAGUUGUUGCCGGCGCCGGACUGGCCGAAGACGAAGUUGUCGGGGCGGAAGAUCUGGCCGAAGGGGCCGGAGCGCACGGAGUCCAUGGUCCCGGGCUCGAGGUCCAUGAGGACGGCGCGCGGGACGAAGCGGCCGCCGCUGGCCUCGUUGUAGUAGACGUUGACGCGCUCGAGCUGGAGGUCUGAGUCCCCCGCGUAGCGGCCCGUGGCGUCGAUCCCGUGCUCGUCGCAGAUCACCUCCCAGAACUUGGCCCCGAUCUGGUUCCCGCACUGCCCACCCUGGAUGUGGAGGAUCUCCCUCAUGGCUGCCCGCUGGCUGUGUGCUGCUGCCUCGACGGGGCCGGCCGGUCGGGACUCGGGCGUCGGACGCAGGCGGGGGGAAAGAAAGGGAAAAGGACGGGUGGCUGGUGCUGUGCGGGCUUUGCGGGAGUACUAGGACGGAUUUGAAAUGCUGUUGCCGUGGGGCUUCGAUCCAAACCUUCGAGCUGGAGGAGGGGGGCUGUGGACCGACCUUGUGCUGUGGCGGGUGGCGGCACGUGCCCGGUGGCCGGUGGGUGGAGGAGAGGCUAGAGAAACGGCCGGGGCCUGCCGCGGUGUAGGGCCCAGGCGCAGCCGCGGUCUGGUUCGUUGAUCGGACGGGCUUGGGAUAGGCGUGGACCCACGUGGCAGGCUGUCAUAACUGAACGGCGGGCCCAAUAAGACAAGCUUAUCCGAGCUGUGGUGCCAAGGGUGCGGCCGCACCGGGCCCCCAAAAAUAGAGGGCCCCCUAGCCACUGUACGGUAGCAUUUUUUCCUAUUAAACCUAUCUAUUAUAGACACAAAUACGUAAGGAGCGAUGCGUUAUCGAGUAGUCUCGUUUAUAUUCUUUGAAAGGGAAUUAGGCUUACACUUAGUUCCUAUAUACUUUUGGUGGUUGAAUUGCCCAACACAAAUCUUUGGACUAACUUGUUUGCCUAAGUGUAUAGAUGAUAUAGGUGUAAAAGGUUCACACUCAGCCAAUAAAAAGACCAAGCUUUGGAUUCAUCAAAGGAGCAAAGGGGCAACCGAAGGCACCCCUGGUGUGGCGCACCGGACUGUCCGGUGUGCCACCGGACAUGUCCGGUGCACCAGGGGGACUCAGACUUGAACUCGCUACCUUCGGGAAUUUUCAGAGGCGACUCCGUUAUAAUUCACCGGACUGUCCGGUGUACACCGGACAGUGUCCGGUGUACACCGGACAGUGUCCGGUGCGCCAAGGGAGGUCGGCCUCAGGAACUCGCCAGCUUCGGGAAAAGCCAACGGCUCAUCCACUAUAAUUCACCGGACUGUCCGGUGUGCACCGGACUGUCCGGUGCGUCUCCAGAGCAACGGCUAUCUCCGCGCCAACGGCUCUCUGCCGCGCAUUUAAUGCGCACUCUGCGCGCACAGAUGGCAGGCACGCCCAUGCUGGCAUACCGGACAGCAAACAGUACCUGUCCGGUGUGCACCGGACACCCAGGCGGGCCCACAAGUCAGAAGCUCCAACGGUCAGAAUCCAACGGCAGUGAUGACGUGGCAGGGAGCACCGGACUGUCCGGUGUGCACCGGACUGUCCGGUGCGCCAUCGAACAGACAUCCCAGCCAACGGUCAAGUUUGGUGGUUGGGGCUAUAAAUACCCCAACCACCCCACCAUUCAUUGAAUCCAAGUUUUCCACUUCCCAACUACUACAAGAGCUCUAGCAUUCAAUUCUAGACACACCAAAGAGAUCAAAUCCUCUCCAAUUCCACACAAAGCCCUAGCGACUAGUGAGAGUGAUUUGCCGUGUUCAUUUGAGCUCUUGCGCUUGGAUUGCUUCUUUUCUUUCUCACUUGUUCUUGUGAUCAAAACUCCAUUGUAAUCAAGGCAAGAGGCACCAAUUGUGUGGUGGCCCUUGCGGGGAAGUUUUGUUCCCGGCUUUGAUUUGAGAAGAGAAGCUCACUCGGUCCGAGGGACCGUUUGAGAGAGGGAAGGGUUGAAAGAGACCCGGCCUUUGUGGCCUCCUCAACGGGGAGUAGGUUUGAGAGAACCGAACCUCGGUAAAACAAAUCCGUGUGUCACAUUUCAUUAUUUGCUCGCGAUUUGUUUUGCGCCCUCUCUCGCGGACUCGUUUAUAUUUCUAACGCUAACCCGGCUUGUAGUUGUGUUUAUAUUUGUAAAUUUCAGUUUCGCCCUAUUCACCCCCCCCCCCUCUAGGCGACUAUCAAUUGGUAUCAAAGCCCGGUGCUUCAUUAGAGCCUAACCGCUCGAAGUGAUGUCGGGAGAUCACGCCAAGAAGGAGAUGGAGACUGGCGAAAAGCCCACUACAAGCAACGGGAGCACUUCAUCGGAAGAGUCCCGCACCAAACGGAGGGAGAAGAAGAAGAACUCCUCCAACAAAGGGAAGGAGAAGAAAUCUUCUUCUCACCACAAAGAGAAGAAGGAAAAAUCUUCUUCCCACAAGCCGCAUCGGAGUGGGGACAAACAAAAGAGGAUGAGGAAGGUGGUCUACUACGAGACCGACACUUCAUCAACAUCGACCUCCGGCUCCGACACGCCCUCCGUAACUUCUAAACGCCAAGAGCGUAAGAAGUUUAGUAAGAUCCCCCUACACUACCCUCGCAUUUCUAAACAUGCAUCUUUACUUUCCGUCCCAUUAGGCAAACCACCAACUUUCGACGGUGAAGAUUAUGCUAGGUGGAGUGAUUUAAUGCGAUUUCAUCUAACCUCACUCCACAAAAGUAUAUGGGAUGUUGUUGAGUUUGGUGCACAGGUACCAUCGGUAGGGGAUAAGGACUAUGAUGAGGAUGAGGUGGCCCAAAUCGAGCACUUCAACUCUCAAGCAACAACGAUACUCCUCGCCUCUUUAAGUAGAGAGGAGUAUAACAAAGUGCAAGGGUUGAAGAGCGCCAAGGAGGUUUGGGAUGUGCUCAAAACCGCGCACGAGGGAGAUGAGCUCACCAAGAUCACCAAGCGGGAAACGAUCGAGGGGGAGCUCGGUCGGUUCCGGCUUCGCAAAGGGGAGGAGCCACAACACAUGUACAACCGGCUCAAGACUUUGGAGAACCAAGUGCGCAACCUCGGGAGCAAGAAGUGGGACGACCACGAAGUGGUAAAUGUUAUCUUAAGAUCUCUCAUUUUUCUUAAUCCCACUCAAGUUCAAUUGAUUCGUGGUAAUCCUAGAUAUACUAAAAUGACCCCCGAGGAAGUUAUCGGGCAUUUUGUAAGUUUUGAGUGCAUGAUAGAAGGCUCGAGGAAAAUCAACGAGCUUGGCGACCCAUCCGAAGCCCAACCCGUUGCAUUCAAGGCAACGGAGGAGAAGAAGGAGGUGUCUACACCAAGUAGACAACCAAUAGACGCCUCCAAGCUCGACAAUGAGGAAAUGGCGCUCGUCAUCAAGAGCUUCCGCCAAAUCCUCAAGCAAAGGAGGGGGAAAGACUACAAGUCCCGCUCCAAGAAGGUUUGCUACAAAUGUGGUAAGCCCGGUCAUUUUAUUGCUAAAUGUCCCAUAUCUAGCGACAGUGACCGAGGCGACGACAAGAAGGGGAGAAGAAAGGAGAAGAAAAGGUACUACAAGAAGAAGGGCGGCGAUGCCCAUGUUUGUCGGGAAUGGGAUUCCGACGAAAGCUCAAGCGACUCCUCCGACAACGAGGACGCCGCCAACAUCGCCGUCACCAAGGGACUUCUCUUCCCCAACGUCGGCCACAAGUGCCUCAUGGCAAAGGACGGCAAACGGAAGAAGGUUAGAUCUAACUCCUCCACUAAAUAUGAGUCUUCUAGUGAUGACAAUGCUAGUGAUGAGGAGGAUAGUUUGCGUUCCCUUUUUGCCAACCUUAACAUAGCUCAAAAGGAGAAAUUAAAUGAAUUAGUUAGUGCUAUUCAUGAAAAGGAUGACCUUUUGGAUUCCCAAGAGGACCUCCUCAUUAAGGAAAAUAAGAAGCAUGUUAAGGUUAAAAAGUCUUAUGCUCUUGAAAUUGAGAAAUGUGAAAAGUUAUCUAGUGAGCUAAGCACUUGCCGUGAGAUGAUUGACAACCUUAAGAAUGAAAAUGCUAGUUUAAAUGCUAAGGUUGAUUCUCAUGUUUGUAAUGUUUCAAUUCCCAAUCCUAGAGAUAAUAAUGAUGAUUUGCUUGCUAGGAUUGAAGAAUUAAACAUUUCUCUUGCUAGCCUUAAGGUAGAAAAUGAAAGUUUAAUUGCUAAGGCUAAAGAUUUUGAUGUUUGCAAAGUUACAAUUUCCGAUCUUAGAGAUAAAAAUGAUAUUCUUCAUGCUAAGAUUGUUAAACUUAAUUCUUGCAAACUGUCUACAUCUAUUGUUGAACAUGUCACUAUUUGUACUAGAUGUAGAGAUAUUGAUAUCAAUGCUAUACAUGAUCACAUGACUCUAAUUAAACAACAAAAUGAUCAUAUAGCAAAACUAGAUGCUAAAAUUGCCGAGCACAACUUAGAAAAUGAGAAAUUUAAAUUUGCUCGUAGCAUGCUUUAUAAUGGGAGACACCCUGGCAUUAAGGAUGGCAUUGGCUUCCAAAGGGGAGACAAUGUCAAAAUUAGUGCCCCUCCUAAGAGAUUGUCCAACUUUGUUAAGGGCAAGGCUCCCAUGCCUCAGGAUAACGAGGGUUACAUUUUAUACCCUGCCGGUUAUCCCGAGAGCAAAAUUAGGAAAAUUCAUUCUAGGAAGUCUCACUCUGGCCCUAAUCAUGCUUUUAUGUAUAAGGGUGAGACAUCUAGCUCUAGGCAACCAACCCAUGCUAAAUUGCCUAGAAAGAAAACUCCUAAUGCAUCAAAUGAUCAUGCUAUUUCAUUUAAAACUUUUGAUGCAUCCUAUGUUUUGACUAACAAAUCCGGCAAGGUCGUUGCCAAGUUUGUUGGGGGCAAACACAAGGGGUCAAAGACUUGUGUUUGGGUACCCAAAGUUCUUGUGUCUAAUGCCAAAGGACCCAAAACAGUUUGGGUACCUAAAGUCAAGAACUAAACUUGUUUUGUAGGUUUAUGCAUCCGGGGGCUCAAGUUGGAUACUCGACAGCGGAUGCACAAACCACAUGACCGGGGAGAAAAGGAUGUUCUCCUCAUAUGAGAAAAAUCAAGAUCCCCAACGAGCUAUCACAUUCGGGGAUGGAAAUCAAGGUUUGGUCAAAGGAUUGGGUAAAAUUGCUAUAUCACCUGACCAUAUUAUUUCCAAUGUUUUUCUUGUAGAUUCUUUAGAUUACAAUUUGCUUUCCGUAUCCCAAUUAUGUCAAAUGGGCUACAACUGUCUAUUCACUGAUGUAGGUGUCACUGUCUUUAGAAGAAGUGAUGAUUCAAUAGCAUUUAAGGGAGUGUUAGAGGGUCAGCUAUACUUGGUAGAUUUUGAUAGAGCUGAACUCGACACUUGCUUAAUUGCUAAGACUAACUUGGGCUGGCUCUGGCACCGCCGACUAGCCCAUGUUGGGAUGAAGAAUCUUCACAAGCUUCUAAAGGGAGAACACAUUAUAGGAUUAACAAAUGUUCAUUUUGAGAAAGACAGGGUUUGUAGCGCAUGCCAGGCGGGAAAGCAAGUUGGAACCCAUCAUCCACACAAGAACAUCAUGACGACCGACAGGCCACUUGAGCUACUCCACAUGGAUCUAUUCGGCCCGAUUGCUUACAUAAGCAUCGGCGGGAGUAAGUAUUGUCUUGUUAUUGUGGAUGAUUAUUCUCGCUUCACUUGGGUAUUCUUUUUACAGGAAAAAUCUCAAACCCAAGAGACCUUAAAGGGAUUCUUGAGACGGGCUCAAAAUGAGUUCGGCUUAAGGAUCAAGAAAAUAAGAAGCGACAACGGGACGGAGUUCAAGAACUCUCAAAUUGAAGGCUUUCUUGAGGAGGAGGGCAUCAAGCAUGAGUUCUCUUCUCCCUACACACCUCAACAAAAUGGUGUUGUGGAGAGGAAGAAUAGAACUCUUUUAGACAUGGCAAGGACCAUGCUUGAUGAAUAUAAGACUUCGGAUCGGUUUUGGGCCGAGGCAGUCAACACCGCCUGCUACGCCAUCAACCGAUUAUAUCUACACCGAAUCCUCAAGAAGACAUCAUAUGAACUCCUAAUCGGUAAAAAGCCCAACAUCUCAUAUUUUAGAGUCUUUGGUAGCAAAUGCUUUAUUCUUGUUAAAAGAGGUAGAAAAUCUAAAUUUGCUCCUAAGACUGUAGAAGGCUUUUUACUUGGUUAUGACUCAAACACAAGGGCAUAUAGGGUCUUUAACAAGUCCACUGGACUAGUUGAAGUCUCAUGUGACGUUGUGUUUGAUGAAACUAACGGCUCUCAAGUAGAGCAAGUUGAUCUUGAUGAGAUAGGUGAUGAAGAGGCUCCAUGCAUAGCGCUAAGGAACAUGUCCAUUGGGGAUGUGUGUCCUAAGGAAUCCGAAGAGUCUCCAAAUACACAAGAUCAACCAUCCUCCUCCACGCUAGCAACUCCACCAACUCAAAAUGAGAAUGAAGCUCAAGUUGAUGAAGUAGAAGAUCAAGCAAAUGAGCCACCUCAAGAUGACGGCAAUGAUCAAGGGGGAGAUGCAAAUGAUCAAGACAAGGAGGAUGAAGAGCAAAGGCCGCCACAUCCAAGAGUCCACCAAGCAAUACAACGAGAUCACCCCGUCGACACCAUCCUCGGCGACAUUCAUAAGGGGGUAACUACUCGAUCUCGUGUUGCCCAUUUUUGUGAACAUUACUCGUUUGUUUCCUCUAUUGAGCCACACAGGGUAGAGGAAGCACUCCAAGAUUCGGAUUGGGUGGUGGCGAUGCAAGAGGAGCUCAACAACUUCACUAGGAAUGAGGUAUGGCAUUUAGUUCCACGUCCGAACCAAAAUGUUGUAGGAACCAAAUGGGUCUUCCGCAACAAGCAAGAUGAGCAUGGUGUGGUGACAAGGAACAAAGCUCGACUUGUGGCCAAGGGAUACUCCCAAGUCGAAGGUUUGGAUUUCGGUGAAACCUAUGCACCCGUAGCUAGGCUUGAGUCAAUUCGCAUAUUAUUGGCCUAUGCUACUUACCAUGGCUUUAAGCUUUAUCAAAUGGACGUGAAAAGUGCCUUCCUCAAUGGACCAAUCAAGGAAGAGGUCUAUGUUGAGCAACCUCCCGGCUUUGAAGACAGUGAGUAUCCUAACCAUAUCUAUAAGCUCUCUAAGGCGCUUUAUGGGCUCAAGCAAGCCCCAAGAGCAUGGUAUGAAUGCCUUAGAGAUUUCCUUAUUGCUAAUGGCUUCAAAGUUGGAAAGGCCGAUCCUACACUCUUUACUAAAACUCUUGAAAAUGACUUGUUUGUAUGCCAAAUUUAUGUUGAUGAUAUUAUAUUUGGGUCUACUAACGAGUCUACAUGUGAAGAGUUUAGUAGGAUCAUGACACAGAAAUUCGAGAUGUCUAUGAUGGGGGAGUUGAAGUAUUUCUUAGGAUUCCAAGUAAAGCAACUCCAAGAGGGCACCUUCAUCAGCCAAACAAAGUACACUCAAGGCAUUCUAAACAAGUUUGGGAUGAAGGAUGCCAAACCCAUCAAGACACCCAUGGGAACUAAUGGGCAUCUCGACCUCGACACGGGAGGUAAGUCCGUAGAUCAAAAGGUAUACCGGUCGAUGAUAAGUUCUUUACUCUAUUUAUGUGCAUCUCGACCGGAUAUUAUGCUUUCCGUAUGCAUGUGUGCAAGAUUCCAAGCCGACCCUAAGGAAGCUCACCUUACGGCCGUAAAACGAAUCUUGAGAUAUUUGGCUUAUACUCCUAAGUUUGGGCUUUGGUACCCUCGGGGAUCCACAUUUGAUUUGAUUGGUUAUUCAGAUGCCGAUUGGGCGGGGUGCAAAAUCAAUAGGAAGAGCACAUCGGGGACUUGCCAGUUCUUGGGAAGAUCCUUGGUGUCUUGGGCUUCAAAGAAGCAAAAUUCGGUCGCUCUUUCAACCGCCGAAGCCGAGUACAUUGCCGCAGGUCAUUGUUGCGCGCAAUUGCUUUGGAUGAGGCAAACCCUGCGGGACUAUGGUUACAAAUUAACCAAAGUCCCUUUGCUAUGUGAUAAUGAGAGUGCAAUCAAAAUGGCCGACAAUCCCGUCGAGCAUAGCCGCACUAAGCACAUAGCCAUUCGGUAUCAUUUUCUUAGGGAUCACCAACAAAAGGGAGAUAUCGAAAUUUCAUACAUAAAUACUAAAGAUCAAUUAGCCGAUAUCUUUACCAAGCCUCUUGAUGAACAAUCUUUUAACAAACUUAGGCAUGAGCUCAAUAUUCUUGAUUCGCGCAAUUUCUUUUGUUAGAUUGCACACAUAGCUCAUUUAUAUAUCUUUGAUCGUAUCCCCUUCCUAUGCUAUGACUAAUGUGUUUUCAAGUCUAUUUCAAACCAAGUCUUAGGUAUAUUGAAAGGGAAUUGGAGUCUUCGGCGAAGACAAAAAGGCUUCCACUCCGUAACUCAACCUUCGCCGUCACUACAUACCACUCUCCAUCCUUAGGGGAGAAAGCAAAAGGACUUCGUCUUUGGUAUAAUCUUAACUCAUUUGUUUAUGACCAAAGGGGAAGAAACUACUUCGCGGGCUCUAAUGAUUCCGUUUUUGGCGAUUCAUGCCAAAAAGGGGGAGAAAGGAGCCCAAAGCAAAAGGACCGCACCACCACCAAUUUCAAAAACUCAGUGUUGAAUAUUUAUCAAUUGAUUUUCCUUUUGUGUUCAAAAAAGGGGAGAAAGUAGUAUUUCAAAAUGAUAUAUCAAAACCCUCUUGAACACUAAGAGGAGGAUCUCCUUUAGGGGGAGUUUUGUUUAGUCAAAAGAAAAGCAUUUGAAACAGGGGGAGAAAAUUUCAAAUCUUGAAAAUGCUUUGCAAAAAUCUUAUUCAUUUACCUUUGACUAUUUGCAAAAGAACUUUGAAAAUGAUUUACAAAAGAGUUUGCAAAAACAAAACAUGUGGUGCAAGCGUGGUCCAAAAUGUUAUAAAUAAGAAACAAUCCAUGCAUAUCCUGUAAGUAAUAAUAUUGGCUAAAUUCCAAGCAACCUUUACACUUACAUCAUGCAAACUAGUUCAAUUAUGCACUUCUAUAUUUGCUUUGGUUUGUGUUGGCAUCACUCACCAAAAAGGGGGAGAUUGAAAGGGAAUUAGGCUUACACUUAGUUCCUAUAUACUUUUGGUGGUUGAAUUGCCCAACACAAAUCUUUGGACUAACUUGUUUGCCCAAGUGUAUAGAUGAUAUAGGUGUAAAAGGUUCACACUCAGCCAAUAAAAAGACCAAGCUUUGGAUUCAUCAAAGGAGCAAAGGGGCAACCGAAGGCACCCCUGGUGUGGCGCACCGGACUGUCCGGUGUGCCACCGGACAUGUCCGGUGCACCAGGGGGACUCAGACUUGAACUCGCUACCUUCGGGAAUUUUCAGAGGCGACUCCGCUAUAAUUCACCGGACUGUCCGGUGUACACCGGACAGUGUCCGGUGCGCCAAGGGAGGUCGGCCUCAGGAACUCGCCAGCUUCGGGAAAAGCCAACGGCUCAUCCACUAUAAUUCACCGGACUGUCCGGUGUGCACCGGACUGUCCGGUGCGUCUCCAGAGCAACGGCUAUCUCCGCGCCAACGGCUCUCUGCCGCGCAUUUAAUGCGCACUCUGCGCGCACAGAUGGCAGGCACGCCCAUGCUGGCACACCGGACAGCAAACAGUACCUGUCCGGUGUGCACCGGACACCCAGGCGGGCCCACAAGUCAGAAGCUCCAACGGUCAGAAUCCAACGGCAGUGAUGACGUGGCAGGGGGCACCGGACUGUCCGGUGUGCACCGGACUGUCCGGUGCGCCAUCGAACAGACAUCCCAGCCAACGGUCAAGUUUGGUGGUUGGGGCUAUAAAUACCCCAACCACCCCACCAUUCAUUGAAUCCAAGUUUUCCACUUCCCAACUACUACAAGAGCUCUAGCAUUCAAUUCUAGACACACCAAAGAGAUCAAAUCCUCUCCAAUUCCACACAAAGCCCUAGCGACUAGUGAGAGUGAUUUGCCGUGUUCAUUUGAGCUCUUGCGCUUGGAUUGCUUCUUUUCUUUCUCACUUGUUCUUGUGAUCAAAACUCCAUUGUAAUCAAGGCAAGAGGCACCAAUUGUGUGGUGGCCCUUGCGGGGAAGUUUUGUUCCCGGCUUUGAUUUGAGAAGAGAAGCUCACUCGGUCCGAGGGACCGUUUGAGAGAGGGAAGGGUUGAAAGAGACCCGGCCUUUGUGGCCUCCUCAACGGGGAGUAGGUUUGAGAGAACCGAACCUCGGUAAAACAAAUCCGUGUGUCACAUUUCAUUAUUUGCUCGCGAUUUGUUUUGCGCCCUCUCUCGCGGACUCGUUUAUAUUUCUAACGCUAACCCGGCUUGUAGUUGUGUUUAUAUUUGUAAAUUUCAGUUUCGCCCUAUUCACCCCCCCUCUAGGCGACUAUCAUUCUUAAACUGUCUCAAUUACUUAUUGAAUACUCCAUCCGUUUUAAAAUAGUAUUUAUUUUAGUUCUUGAUUUUUAUGUUUAUAUUGAUGAUGAUGAAUCAACUAAAUAAGCAAAACAAAUUCUAUUUUAAUAUAGGGAGAGUAUUAUAAACUAUACAUAUGAUGGUUGCUUUGGCAGAGAGAAGCUUUUAAAAUUGAAAUAUUUUUGUGAACUAUUUUUUUAUCAACAAUAACUCAAGAGAUGUUAAAUGGCUUGGUGAUUCUAUAUAUCGAAAAAGUUAUUGGAUGAGAUUAAUUUUAAUGAUAUAAGAGAUGACUUUGUAUCACAAAAUGUUAAAAGAUAUUUUUAAUAAUAUCAGAUAACAAGUGUUUUUUUGCUAUAUUUUACAUUUGUUAUCUUGUAAACUUCAAAAUAGUGCAUAAUAAAUUUUAUAUGUCAAAUAUUUGAUAAUAUAUGUAUAAUUAUUUAUAUAUAUAUAUAUAUAUAUAUAUAUAUAUUUGUGUAUGGAUGGGCCUCGAUAUCGAAUUUCGUAUUGGGCCUCUGAAAAGUCAGGAACGGCCCUGGUUGUUCCCUGCUCGUCUUCAGGCUUCAGCAGCAAUGAUUAGAUGGUUGAUUAUUAGACAGCGGAUAGCAGACGCUUGGCAGGCAAAUGCAGCGCUUGGACAGCAGAUGUAGCUGUUGCUUGGAUUAAGGGAAUGACAAGGACCGAUUACCAGCAUGUUGCUGGGCGGCGGCGAGAGAGGCACACUGGCACCAACUCAUCAUGGCUGUGGACGAACUAGCUCAAAGUACAAGCUAAACACACGUACUAAAACUUCAUCGUGGCGAGAGAACCAAUUUUAUUGACUGCUUUGAUGCGAAUAUAGCAAGCAGCGGUCGGUCAACAUCCUGCUCAGCUCAGUGCUCACGUGGCUAAACCGCUAGCAUGGAGACGUGGUUAUUACUAAGAUGAUCUACGUUGGUUAUUGCUUGGUAAAGACAAUAAUGCGAUGGGAAAAAUAAAAAAACAGAAAUUAUUCUAACACAGUCAAUAAAAAAGAAAAUUUUCGAACACAGGGCGUACAACAUUACGGUAGGCUGAACAUGGCAGAGCAAAGUACAUCAAUCACUAGAUUCAACGAUUCAAGUUUUACUACUUUAAGGCUAAUUUGGAAACUCCAAUUUUCUAAAAAAUUAAUUUAGAACUAGUUUAGAAACUCCAUUCUUACAAAGAAUUUACUAUUUUCUUAAUAGAAAAUAAGCUAAUCCCUUUAGAAAAUGGGUUCCCAAACUACCCUUUUAACGUAAAGGAAGGUUGGGCAGAAGUUUCGAUGACAAGCUGUGAGCUUAUACAUCAAUUCUGAUGCCAAAAGUUUAAUAUUAUUGUUAUUACGCUACGUAGAUGGUACACUUGUUGUACCAACUCGACAAGCUGCUGAGCUUUUACCUGGUAGGAUAGUGAGCAAUCGUCCCUCCCAUAUCAUGCAGCUAACCACUCUUGUACUUCCAUUAUCUAAAAAAACCACUCUUGUACUUCCUUAUUUGGUUAUGGAACUAGAAUGCCUUCUUCUCGUAUGAAACCAACCCAUGAAUUCCUCCUUCAACCUGGGCAGCACCGGUUCUCACCUAGCAAGGAGGACCAACAAAGAUCAAAUAAGUCAGUGUGUGCUUUCUGGAACAGAUGCUCAGCUUCUGGCUAGUAAUAUAUGUUCUCAAAAAAUAAAGAUGUUUUUUGGUAGGGGAGCUAAAUUAGGCAGCACGCUUUCUCAAUCUAAACAACAAUGAGCAAGCAGGAAGAUAGGUGAGGAGCAUUCACUAAUUCCACCAGCAAUAUCAGAAACCCCUUAUCCAAAUCCAACCUAAUCGCCAGUCAAAAAAAUCCAACCUAAUAUCCAAAUUGCUACAAUAUUUUUGACCAUUCUAAGAUUCAUAUGGAUUAAUAAAGACUAUUAAAUAAUCUACUGAACUUUGGAGCUGGUUCCAAAAACAAACCUACUUGUAAGUAGCAAUAAAUGUUAACUUAAAUUGUAUAAACAAUAUUUCUGCAAAUGAGGAAGAUGAACUUCUCCAGUCUUAAACAGUUGAUAUGUUGGAAGAUAACUUGUGUGCAUCCUGAAAAUACCUCUAAUCUGAGUGUCUCUGAUCUCACUUCUCCAGUCUUAAACAGUUGAUAUGUUGGAAGAUAACUUGUGUGCAUCCUGAAAAUACCUCUAAUCUGAGUGUCUCUGAUCUCAAAAGAUCAUGAGCUGACCGCAGAGAAUCUGCGCCAAUCCUUGCCCAACUGCUUGCAUAGUGUAAGGAAUGAACCUCAGUACGGAGCCUUUGUCAGCUACUGCACCAACGACGCCAUGUGCGACUUUGAGCUUGAAAGUAUCACCAAGGUACUUUACAUCACUCCCUUUUGUCAUGGCUUCGAGAGAGCCCAUGUCUCUGUAUUUUUUAACUCGUCGGCCGUCCUAAAAGUAGCAUGUCAAGAGUUAUAACUAGGACUAGAUAUCGAGCCAACUCGGUUCGGCUCGUCCAAAUUCAAGCUGACUCGUUAAGCUAACGAUCUGGCUCGGUUCGUUAAGCUAACGAGAGUCAGCUCGGUUUGACUCGUUUAUAAGCUCGAGCUGGCUCAUUUAACUCGCGAGCCAAGAAAAAACAAUAUGUAUAUAAUAACCAUUUCUAGUUAAUUCUAAACAUUUUAACAAUAAAAAAUAGUAAUUAUACUCAUAGUUUCGCAGUCCACAUCAAAGUAACACCAAAUUAACACAAUUCAUCACUCAUCAAUUCACAAUUCACACACAUGUUCAUUAAUUUAACCGACAAUUAUAUUCUCAUAGACCAAUUUAACACAUAGACACAGUUCAUUAAUCAUUAGUUUAAUAAGCCAUAGACACCACACAUACAUAUAACAUGUUCAUCAAUUGUUACGUAAAUGAUAUGCAUAUAGUUUCAUUUUGAUGAAAUUUGACAGCUCGUUUAGCACGGGAGCUGGCUCGUUAUCGAACCGAGCUGGGUUGUCAGCUCAGCUCGUGAAAAAAUCAAGCGAGCCGACGAGCCACGAGUAUUUCGUCAAUCCCUAGUUAUAACCAAAACAUUUUCAUGAAAGAAUGCAAGUUUCACAUCAAACAAAGAACGACACAAAAAAAUAUAAAUGCAAACUGCUUUAAGUUCUGGAGUUAUCCUAAAUCAAACUGCUUUAAGUUCAACUAGACCUAAUCAAAUGAUGGGUCGUGCCAGGAGAAAAAUGAUUAGGUUACAAUUUUUUGCCAGAUAUCGACCUGACGCACUCGCGGGUCAGGUCAGAUCGAGUGGCCCAUGAACAGGUCUAAGUUCAACCAACUUUAUGUAAUUUGGAAGAGUAUCUAUGACACCAAAUAAGCACACUUUGAUAUGAAAAUAUAUUUUAUGAUGUAUUUAAUGAUAUAAAUUUGGUGUCAUAAAUAUCAAUCUUCUUCUGAUUAAAUAAAUAUGGUCGAUAAACCUAAGUUUUAAUAAGGACAAAUCUGAUAUUCUGGAAGCAAGGCUACCCAUGAACAAUGCAAAUAUAGAGAAGUACAUCCAAGUGCCAUUCAGUCAUCAUAUAAACAAUUCUUUAUUGCACGCUCUUGACAACUUUUAUACUAUCUGAUUAUACUGUUGUUCAUACAUAAAAGUCCAUGUGCAUGACAUGUGAUCUUCAAUAUGAAUCGAGUCUCAUGCUCUAUACGGCUGUAGGGAGUAGGGAGUAGGGACUUUGGCAGUCAUCACCUAAGUUUGGACCAAAAGAAAUUCCAACGUUCUGUAUAUGGUAUACAUUGUACUCAUCUCAGAACAGCAAAAAUAUCAAUAUCAAUAUAUAUCAUACCUUGUAUUCAUAAGUACCAGGAGCUUCAUAACUGCCAGCUAAAAAGCUGCCCAUCAUAACAGUGGAUGCCCCCAGCGACAAAGCUUUCACGAUAUGUCCAGAGUUUGAAAUUCCACCAUCAGCAAUAACUGGUACAUUGUGAUCAUUGGCAUAAGAUGAAACCUUAUACACUGAUGUUGCCUGUUCAAAGCCCAAUAUUAGACCAAGUACCCAUCAGUGUCUUCUAAGCAUAUGAAACAAGGACUACAUAUCCCCUUGCCUAUCUGAGAAAGGCAAAGUCAGAAGAUGCUCUGAUGUCAUCAAAUCAGAGUUGAAUACUUGCACUGAAUGUGGCAAGGAUGUUUACAAUGUCUAGCAAAACAAAGGACAAAAUUUGUUUCCACCAUGGUCACGGCCAUCUAAGAUAACUUCAGACCAUAAAACAACUCGGGGAGGAAAAAAAGGGUGUUCGCUGAUCCUAUGCUACCUAAUGUAGGAUUCAGGGCACCCAACAAAUUUGACAGCAAGCUAAAUGAAGUAAGGCAGUAAGCUGAUGGUCAUGCAUUAGAAUACUGAAAAAAGAAGGGUUCAUGAAGAUUUUAGCAUUUACCUGUCCUCUUCCAACAGCACAAACCUCUUGGGUGGUACAAAUUGAGCCAGAACCCAUUCCAACACGCAAUCCAUCUGCACCAGCUUGAAUCAAAUUCUGGGCCUGCGCAAUUGUCACUGCAUUACCCCCAAUAAAAUCCACCUCCGGAUACAUCUUCUUGGCAAACUUUAUCAUAUCAAGCUGGUAGAUGGAGUUCCCCUGUGAACUAUCAAUCACGAUAGCAUUUGCCCCCGCCUUAACUAGCCGCUCUAGCCUUCCCUUGCCAUCCUCACGGGUCCCGAUGGAGGCCGCAACUACAAACUUCCCGUCCACUCCAAGCGAUGGCUUGCCUAACUUGGGAUAGCUCCUGAUGCGCUCCACAUCCUUGACGGUGAUGAGAUCGACAACCUCACCAUCGUCGGACACGAGAGGGGCGUAAUCCAGACCCUCAUCGCCAAGGAAGUGUUAGAAAUAUAGGCAUUUUCCGUACCAUUUUAAUUCCAUAAAUUAACAUUAUGAUGAUGACAUAUAAUAGAUAAUCAAACAUAGAUAACAUGAUCUCAAAAUUAUCCAUAAUAAUAUAGAUCAUGAGAACACAAAACAUAUGAAUCAUAUAAAUAUAAUAAGCAAAUAAACAUGGAACAUGUAUUAUUAUGGAACAACUGAAAAUAAACAGAUAGCAACAUAAACAGCAUGACUGUAAAAUUAAGACAAACAGAUUUAUCAUAUUACUAGUAUGAUCAGGCAUCAGACACGUCAUGAUAUAAUACGACAAAACAGAUUUGAUAAAUUUAUGGCUAUAAAUAAAACAGCAGGUAUGAACAUAUAUAAUUUGCAGAAUGAAAAACAGUAAGGAGAUGAAUUGAUCAUACCCUGCCAUGCGCUCCGAGGACCUAGAUCCUUGUCCAACUUCACUUGUCAUGUCAGCAGGAAGAAGACUUUGGGCAGUCGCGUAGACGCUCCCCAAAAACCUAAUUGCCGAUCCCUCGUGCAGAGUCACGAGAUGGAAAUACCCUUACUCGGCUGCUGGACUGUGUUCUGAAAGUGUUUUCUCACGUGUACCGAGUGACAGGGGUGCUCCUCUAUUUAACCUCUCGCAGAGGGAAGCUGAAGGAGAAAGGUCGCCGAGUCACGCCAAGAGUCGGCCAGCUCUAGCCGAGUUAUGCCAUGAGUCGGCCAGCUCUUGCCGAGUCACGCCAUAAGUCGGCAGCUGAAGGAGAAGGGUCACUCGGCUGGCAGACGAAGAGACAGAGUCACUCGGCUAACGUACUGUCCGCCCGCUCGCCCGCCCGCCCGCUCGCCCGCUCGCCUGCCUGCCACGGCCGGCGGCGGCGCGCGCGCGCGUGUGGCACGCCCUUGUCUAUUUCUUGACUUCUCAAGUUAAGUGGAAUAAAUCCCACCAUAUAAGUCAAGGCAAAAGACCCUUGGACUUCCAAUGUGGUACUAUUGGUAUUCUCCACCAUUACAUACCAUAGAGUUUAUUUAAUAAAUGGGCCAAGCCCAUAAAAGAUCCAACAGGAAGGCGGCUGCUUCUUCGAAGUCGAAGGAGGCAGAGGCUGAGCGCGGUGUCUGUCGCAUUCGCAUGUACUCCGAGACAGCGACAGGAACGUCACGGGAGACAGCAUCAGCUGCGACAGCGACACCGACGAGCCUGGAGAGCGAAUCUCCGCGCUCGGUGACGAGGGCGUAAUCGCUGCCAGCGAACCCGUUGAGCGUCGGCGCGGAGGACGGGGAGAAGAAGGGCACGGAGGAUACGAAGGGGAGGCGGCGGGACUUGGCGGCGCGGACGAUGGCGGCCUGGGCGUGGGGCUCAGUGUUGCGGUGCACGACGGCGGCGGCGCCGAGGGAGGCCAUGGCCGCGGCCAUGGCGGCCUCAGAGACGGUGUCCAUCGGGGAUGCGACGCAGGGGGCAGGGGGUGGAGAGCGGCACGCGGCGGGAGAGGCGGGUGGAGAGGUCGACGGCAUCGGCGGGAAAGCCGAUGUAGCCCGGAAGGAAGAUGACGUCGUCGUAGGUGUAGGAGACGCCCAGCGAGAAGAGGCGCGGCCCCGCGAAGCCGACGGCGGCGAGGUCGGCGCUGCUCGCCGCCAUUGGUGGACUGGGGUUUUAGGGUUUUCGGCUGCUGCUGCUUCUGCGGCAGAGGUGGCGGGGCAGAGACGGGAAUGAAGGAAGGCGGGAAGCAAAUGGGGUAAGCGACUUGGCGGGUAGCAACGCGCAUGAUGAGUCAAUGAGAGGUGGGUCCGCUUGUCCCGCCAGCGAUUGAGCCAAAUCGUGAGCUGGGCCGGAAGCUCGGACGACAAAGGCAAAGAGCCCACCACUUCUACGAAUGUGGUUCCCAUCAGUAGGGAAAAAAUGCCCGCGAAUGUUCCACGGGCCACCGGCAUAUGAAUGGGUGAUGUAUAAUGCGAGGGAAUCAUAUGCCCUGCCGUUUGUCUCCGGACUCCAGCCACCACCAUUUCGGUCAGAUGUCAAAAGUAGGAACAAUCUUGUUUCUCUUUGUAUUUGUAUAUGUUAUAUCUUAUGUAGAGACGUAUAUUUUGGCCCAAACUUGAGCUUGAUUACUAAGGGUAUGUUUGUUUCUCUCCUAAAUUAUAUAAGUUGGAUUAUGGUUGAAGGACGGAUAGUAAAACAUCACUUAGUAAUUAUAAAUAAGCUACUCAAUGCUAAUUUAUUUCAGCUUAUUUAUACUCCUAAAAUAAUAUUUUACGCACUUACUCUUUCACCGUAAUCCAACUUAUGUAAUUUAAAAGGGGGACAAACAUAACCUAAAAGAGAUUGAUGGGUUAUUUCUCGUGGAUGAGAUUUUACAUCCCUUCUAAUCAUUUUUGGCACAUAUCUUCUCUAUCUGCACUAUAUAAAAUAUAAGUGUGCUCCUCCACAUUUAAAUGGUAGAAAAGAUAGAAUUAUACACAAACCAUGGUUAUCGGCUUCGAACAUAAUUUACCCCACCUAACCAAGAGAAUACACAUGUCUGUGUUCUACUCCACUUAUAAAUUGAAAUCAUAGCAACAUAUAGACACUUUACUAUCAAGCUUUUAAACUUAGUGCUCUCUUACAAUUUUCCCCACCAUAUGUUUGAAUCAGAUUAAGUUUGUUGUUAGUCAAACACCCCCAGUUUUACCAAUUAUGUAAUGCACUAAGAAUUUAGUACUAUCGAAUUCAGUUACAUAGGAAAUAUGAUUGAUAGUGUGUUUUGAACUCAUAAAUCUUUGGUUCUCCUAACUAAAGUUUAGUCCGUGUCGUAUUGAAUGUUUGAUGAUCAUGGGAGCGGAGCCCAUAGUAUGAUCAUGGGGGAAACGCCCCUUAUAUAUCUUGACCCAUUUGAACUUGUAUUUAUAGAUAUUUUGGUCGUUUUUAUUUAUUUUUGUUUGCUUUUGACAAAUGUAAACAUAAAAUGAGACGACAUGAUUGUUUUUCGACUAUUUUUAGUCACAUAUCCCACUUUAUCCGCAUAUACUAUCUUGAUUUAAAUAAUACAAUGAAUAAUUCAUAGGCAAUUACGUCACAUCGCAUCAAACUAAUUUGUAAUUGAUUAUUUUUCGAUAGAGAUAUGUAUAUUAUUGAAAGGGAAUUAGGCUUACACCUAGUUCCUAAAUAAUUUUGGUGGUUGAAUUGCCCAACACAAAUCUUUGGACUAACUAGUUUGCUCUAGUGUAUAAGUUAUACAGGUGUCAAAGGUUCACACUUAGCCAAUAAAAAGACCAAGUGUUGGGUUCAACAAAAAUGCAAAGGAGCAACCGAAGGCUCCUCUGGUCUGGCGCACCGGACUGUCCGGUGCGCCACCGGACAUGUCCGGUGCACCAGAGGACUCAGGUUUCAAACUCGUCACCUUCGGGAAUUUCCAGAGGCCACUCCGCUAUAAUUCACCGGACUGUCCGGUGUGCACCGGACAUGUCCGGUGCUCCAAGGAAGGGCGGCCCCAGGAACUCGCCAGCCUCGGGUUUUCAUUCCAGCCGCUCCGCUAUAAUUCACCGGACUGUCCGGUGUGCACCGGACUGUCCGGUGCAUCUGCGGAGCAACGGCUACUUCAGGCGCCAACGGCUACCUGCAGCGCAUUUAUUGCGCGCCAGCGCGCGCAGAGGUCAGGGACGCCCAUGCUGGCGCACCGGACACUCUACAGUACAUGUCCGGUGCGCCACCGGACAUCAAGGCGGGCCCAGAAGUCAGAACUCCAACGGUCGAUUUCCAACGGCACUGGUGACGUGGCGGGGGCACCGGACAUGUCCGGUGUGCACCGGACUGUCCGGUGCGCCAUCGAACAGACAGCCCAGCCAACGGUCAAGUUUGGUGGUUGGGGCUAUAAAUACCCCAACCACCCCACCAUUCAUUGUAUCCAAGUUCUCUACUUCCCAACUACUACAAGAGCUCUAGCAUUCAAUUCUAGACACACCAAAGAGAUCAAAUUCUCUCCAUAUUCCACACAACGCUCUAGUGACUAGAGAGAGAGAUUUGCUUGUGUUCUUUCGAGCUCUUGCGCUUGGAUUGCUUCCUUCUUUCUUGAUUCUUUCUUGUGAUCAAACACUCACUUGUAAAUUGAGGCAAGAGGCACCAAUUGUGUGGUGGCCCUUGCGGGAAGGUUGAUUCCCAAGUGAUUUGAGAAGAGAAGCUCACUCGGUCCGAGGGACCGAUUGAGAGAGGGAAGGGUUGAAAGAGACCCGGCCUUUGUGGCCUCCUCAACGGGGAGUAGGUUUGCAAGAACCGAACCUCGGUAAAACAAAUCUGCGUGUCACACUCUUCAUUUGCUUGUGAUUUGUUUUGCUCCCUCUCUCGCGGACUCGUUUAUAUUUCUAACGCUAACCCGGCUUGUAGUUGUGAUUAUUUUUGAGAAUUUCAGUUUCGCCCUAUUCACCCCCCCUCUAGGCGACUUUCAAUUGGUAUCGGAGCCCGGUGCUUCAUUAGAGCUUAACCGCUCGAAGUGAUGUCGGGAGAUCACGCCAAGAAGGAGAUGGAGACCGGCGAAAAGCCCACUACAAGCCACGGGAGCACUUCAUCGGAAGAGUCCCGCACCAAGAGGAAGGAGAAGAAGAAGAGCUCCUCCAACAAAGGGAAGGAGAAGAAAUCUUCUUCGCACCACAAAGAGAAGAAGGAGAGAUCUUCCUCCCACAAGCCACAUCGGAGAGGGGACAAGCACAAAAGGAUGAGGAAAGUGGUCUACUACGAGACCGACACUUCAUCAACAUCGACCUCUGACUCCGAUGCGCCCUCCGUAACUUCUAAACGCCAAGAGCGUAAGAAGUUUAGUAAGAUCCCCCUACAUUACCCUCGCAUUUCUAAAAAUGCACCUUUACUUUCCGUCCCGUUAGGCAAACCACCAACUUUUGAUGGUGAAGAUUAUGCUAGGUGGAGUGAUUUAAUGCGAUUUCAUCUAACCUCACUCCACAAAAGUAUAUGGGAUGUUGUUGAGUUUGGUGCACAGGUACCGUCCAUAGGGGAUAAAGACUAUGAUGAGGAUGAGGUGGCCCAAAUCGAGCACUUCAACUCUCAAAGAUCACAAAGAUGAGCUCACAAAGAUCACCAAGCGGGAAACGAUCGAGGGGGAGCUCGGUCGGUUCCGGCUUCGCAAAGGGGAAGAGCCACAACACAUGUACAACCGGCUCAAGACCUUGGUGAACCAAGUGCGAAACCUCGGGAGCACGAAGUGGGACGACCACGAAAUGGUUAAGGUUAUUCUAAGAUCUCUCAUUUUCCUUAACCCCACUCAAGUUCAAUUAAUUCGUGGUAAUCCUAUAUAUACUAAAAUGACCCCCGAGGAAGUUAUCGGGAAUUUUGUAAGUUUUGAGUGCAUGAUCGAAGGCUCGAGGAAGAUCAACGAGCUUGAUGAUCCAUCCACAUCCGAAGCUCAACCUGUCGCAUUCAAGGCGACGGAGGAAAAGAAGGAGGAAGCUACACCAAGUCGACAACCUAUAGACGCCUCCAAGCUCGACAAUGAGGAAAUGGCGCUCGUCAUCAAGAGCUUCCGCCAAAUCCUCAAGCAAAGGAGAGGGAAAGACUACAAGUCCCGCUCCAAGAAGGUUUGCUACAAGUGUGGUAAGCCCGGUCACUUUAUUGCUAAAUGUCCAUUAUCAAGUGAUAGUGACAGGGGCGACGACAAGAAGGGGAGAAGAAAGGAGAAGAAGAGGUACUACAAGAAAAAGGGCGGCGAUGCCCAUGUUUGUCGGGAGUGGGACUCCGACGAAAGCUCUAGCGACUCCUCCGACGACGAGGACGCCGCCAACAUCGCCGUCACCAAGGGACUCCUCUUCCCCAACGUCGGCCACAAAUGCCUCAUGGCAAAGGACGGCAAAAGGAAGAAGGUAAAAUCAAGAUCCUCCACUAAAUAUGAAACAUCUAGUGAUGAUAAUGCUAGUGAUGAGGAAGAUAAUUUACGUAUUCUUUUUGCCAACCUUAACAUUGAACAAAAAGAAAAAUUAAAUGAAUUGAUUAGUGCUAUUCAUGAAAAGGAUGACCUUUUGGAUUCUCAAGAGGAUCUCCUAAUUAAGGAAAACAAGAAACAUGUUAAGGUUAAAAAUGCUUAUGCUCUUGAAAUUGAGAAAUAUGAAAAAUUAUCUAGUGAGCUAAGCACUUGUCAUGAGACAAUAGACAACCUUAGAAAUGAAAAUGCAAAUUUGUUGGCUAAGGUUGAUUCUCAUGUUUGUAAUGUUUCAAUUCCCAAUCCUAGAGAUAUUAAUGAUGAUUUGCUUGCUAGGAUUGAAGAAUUAAACAUUUCUCUUGCUAGCCUUAGGAAUGAAAAUGAGAAAUUAAUUACUAAGGCAAAAGAUUUUGAUGUUUGCAAAGUUACAAUUUCCGAUCUUAGAGAUAAGAAUGAUAUUCUACAUGCUAAGAUUGUUGAACUUAAUUCUUGCAAACCCUCUACAUCUACCAUUGAGCAUGUCACUAUUUGUACUAGAUGUAGAGAUAUUGAUGUUGAUGCUAUCCAUGAUCACAUGAUUUUAAUUAAGCAACAAAAUGAUCAUAUAGCUAAACUAGAUGCUAAAAUUGCCGAGCAUAACUUGGAAAAUGAAAAGUUUAAAUUUGCUAGAAGUAUGCUCUAUAAUGGGAGACGCCCGGGCAUCAAGGAUGGCAUUGACUUCCAAAGGGGAGACAAUGACAAACUUAAUGCCCCUCCUAAGAACUUGUCUAACUUUGUUAAAGGCAAGGCUCCCAUGCCUCAGGAUAACGAGGGCUACAUUUUAUACCCUGCCGGCUAUCCUGAGAGCAAAAUUAGGAAAAUUCAUUCUAGGAAAUCUCACUCUGGCCCUAAUCAUGCUUUUAUGUAUAAGGGUGAGACAUCUAGCUCUAGGCAACCAACCCGUGCUAAGUUGCCUAGAAAGAAAACUCCUAAUGCAUCAAAUGAUCAUGACAUUUCAUUUAAAACUUUUGAUGCUUCUUAUGUGCUUACUAACAAAUCCGGCAAGGUAGUUGCCAAGUUUGUUGGGGGCAAACACAAGGGUUCCAAGACUUGUGUUUGGGUACCCAAAGUUCUUGUGUCUAAUGCCAAAGGACCCAAAACCGUUUGGGUACCUAAAGUCAAGAACUAAAAUUGUUUUGUAGGUUUAUGCAUCCGGGGGCUCAAGUUGGAUACUCGAUAGCGGGUGCACAAACCACAUGACUGGGGAGAAGAAGAUGUUCUCCUCAUAUGAGAAAACCAAGAUCCCCAACGAGCUAUCACAUUCGGGGAUGGAAAUCAAGGUUUCGUCAAAGGAUUGGGUAAAAUUGCUAUAUCACCUGACCAUACUAUUUCCAAUGUUUUUCUUGUAGAUUCUUUAGAUUACAAUUUGCUUUCCGUUUCACAAUUAUGUCAAAUGGGCUACAACUGUCUAUUUACUGAUGUAGGUGUCACUGUCUUUAGAAGAAGUGAUGAUUCAAUAGCAUUUAAGGGUGUGUUGGAGGGUCAGCUAUACUUGGUAGAUUUUGAUAGAGCUGAACUCGACACAUGCUUAAUUGCUAAGACUAACAUGGGUUGGCUCUGGCACCGCCGACUAGCCCAUGUUGGGAUGAAGAAUCUUCAUAAGCUUCUAAAGGGGGAACACAUUUUAGGAUUAACCAAUGUUCAUUUUGAGAAAGACAGGAUUUGUAGCGCAUGCCAAGCCGGGAAGCUAGUUGGUACCCAUCAUCCACACAAAAACAUCAUGACGACCGACAGGCCACUGGAGCUCCUACACAUGGACCUAUUCGGCCCGAUUGCUUACAUAAGCAUCGGCGGGAGUAAGUACUGUCUAGUUAUUGUGGAUGAUUAUUCUCGCUUCACUUGGGUAUUCUUUUUGCAGGACAAAUCUCAUACCCAAGAUACCUUAAAGGGAUUCUUGAGACGGGCUCAAAAUGAGUUCGGCUUAAGGAUCAAGAAAAUUAGAAGCGACAAUGGGACGGAGUUCAAGAACUCACAAAUAGAAGGUUUCCUUGAGGAGGAGGGCAUCAAGCAUGAGUUCUCUUCUCCCUACACGCCACAACAAAAUGGUGUAGUGGAGAGGAAGAAUCGAACUCUUUUGGACAUGGCUAGAACCAUGCUUGAUGAGUACAAGACACCGGAUCAGUUUUGGGCCGAGGCGGUCAACACCGCUUGCUAUGCCAUCAACCGGUUAUAUUUACACCGAAUCCUCAAGAAGACAUCCUAUGAACUCCUAACCGGUAAAAAGCCCAACAUUUCCUAUUUUAGAGUUUUUGGUAGCAAAUGCUUUAUUCUUGUUAAAAGAGGUAGAAAAUCUAAAUUUGCUCCUAAAACUGUAGAAGGCUUUUUACUAGGAUAUGGCUCAAACACAAGGGCAUAUAGAGUCUUUAACAAGUCUUCAGGACUUGUUGAAGUUUCUUGUGACGUUGUGUUUGAUGAAACUAACGGCUCUCAAGUAGAGCAAGUUGAUCUUGAUGAGAUAGGUGAAGAACAGGCUCCGUGCAUCGCGCUAAGGAACAUGUCCAUUAUGGAUGUGUGCCCUAAGGAAUUCGAAGAGCCUCCAAAUACACAAGAUCAACCAUCCUCCUCCACGCAAGCAGCUCCACCAACCCAUGAUGAGGAUGAGGCUCAAGUUGAUGAAGGAGAGGAUCAAAAGGAUGAGCCACCUCAAGAUGACGGCAACGAUCAAGGGGGGAUGCAAAUGAUGAAGACAAGGAGGCCGAACAACCAAGACCGCCACACCCAAGAGUCCACCAAGCAAUCCAACGAGAUCACCCCGUCGACACCAUUCUCGGCGACAUUCAUAAGGGGGUAACCACUCGAUCUCGUGUUGCACAUUUUUGUGAGCAUUACUCUUUUGUUUCCUCUAUUGAGCCACAAAGGGUAGAGGAAGCACUCCAAGAUGCGGAUUGGGUGAUGGCGAUGCAAGAGGAGCUCAACAAUUUCACAAGGAACGAGGUAUGGCGCUUAGUUCCACGUCCUAACCAAAAUGUUGUAGGAACCAAAUGGGUCUUCCGCAACAAGCAAGAUGAGCAUGGUGUGGUGACAAGGAACAAAGCUCGACUUGUGGCCAAAGGAUACUCCCAAGUCGAAGGUUUGGGUUUCGGUGAAACCUAUGCACCCGUAGCUAGGCUUGAAUCAAUUCGCAUAUUAUUAGCCUAUGCUACUUACCAUGGCUUCAAGCUUUAUCAAAUGGACGUGAAGAGUGCCUUCCUCAACGGACCAAUCAAGGAAGAGGUCUAUGUUGAGCAACCUCCCGGCUUUGAAGACAGUGAGUAUCCUAACCAUGUCUAUAAGCUCUCUAAGGCGCUUUACGGGCUAAAGCAAGCCCCAAGAGCAUGGUAUGAAUGCCUUAGAGAUUUCCUUAUUGCAAAUGGCUUCAAAGUCGGCAAGGCCGAUCCUACUCUAUUCACUAAAACUCUUGACAAUGAUUUGUUUGUAUGCCAAAUUUAUGUUGAUGAUAUUAUAUUUGGGUCUACUAACGAAUCUACAUGUGAGGAAUUUAGUAGGAUCAUGACACAAAAAAUCGAGAUGUCUAUGAUGGGGGAGUUGAAGUAUUUUCUAGGAUUUCAAGUCAAGCAACUCCAAGAGGGCACCUUCAUUUGUCAAACAAAGUACACUCAAGACAUUCUAACCAAGUUUGGAAUGAAGGAUGCCAAGCCCAUCAAGACUCCCAUGGGAACAAAUGGGCAUCUCGACCUCGACACGGGAGGUAAGUCCGUGGAUCAAAAGGUAUACCGGUCGAUGAUUGGUUCAUUGCUUUAUUUAUGUGCAUCUCGACCGGACAUUAUGCUUUCCGUAUGCAUGUGUGCAAGAUUCCAAGCCGACCCUAAGGAAUCACACCUUUCGGCUGUAAAACGAAUCUUGAGAUAUUUGGCUUAUACUCCUAAGUUUGGGCUUUGGUACCCUCGGGGAUCCACAUUUGAUUUGAUUGGUUAUUCGGAUGCCGACUGGGCGGGGUGUAAGAUUAACAGGAAGAGCACAUCAGGGACUUGCCAGUUCUUGGGGAGAUCCUUGGUGUCUUGGGCUUCAAAGAAGCAAAAUUCGGUCGCUCUUUCAACCGCCGAAGCCGAGUACAUUGCCGCAGGUCAUUGUUGCGCGCAAUUACUUUGGAUGAGGCAAACCCUGCGGGACUACGGUUACAAAUUAACCAAAGUUCCUUUGCUAUGUGAUAAUGAGAGUGCAAUCAAAAUGGUCGACAAUCCCGUCGAGCAUAGCCGCACUAAGCACAUAGCCAUUCAGUAUCAUUUUCUUAGGGAUCACCAACAAAAGGGAGAUAUCGAGAUUGCUUACAUUAAUACUAAAGAUCAAUUAGCCGAUAUCUUUACCAAGCCACUUGAUGAACAAACUUUUACCAAACUUAGGCAUGAGCUCAAUAUUCUUGAUUCCCGCAACUUCUUUUGUUAGAUUGCACACAUAGCUCAUUUAUAUACUUUUGAUCAUAUCUCUUUUAUAUGCUAUGACUAAUGUGUUUCCAAGUCUAUUUCAAAUCAAGUCAUAGGUAUAUUGAAAGGGAAUUGGAGUUUUCGGCGAAGACAAAGGCUUCCACUCCGCAACCCAUCCGUCGCUGUCGCUCCAAGCCACUCUCCAUCUUUGGGGGAGAGAACAAAAGGACUUCAUCUUUGGUAUAAUCUUAACUCAUUUGUUUAUGACCAAAGAGGAAGACAUUACUUCGAGGGCUCUAAUAAUUCCGUUUUUGGCGAUUCAUGCCAAAGGGGGAGAGAGUAUGGGCCCAAAGCAAAAGGACCGCACCACCACCAAUUUCAAAAACUUAGUGUUUUCCAAGAGUAUUUAUCAAUUGGUAUCCUAUUGUGUUCAAAAGAGGGAGAAAGUAGUAUUUCAAAAAUGAUAUAUCAAAACCCUCUUGAACACUAAGAGGAGGAUCUCCUUUAGGGGGGAGUUUUGUUUAGUCAAAGGAAAAGCAUUUGAAACAGGGAGAGAAAAUUUCAAAUCUUGAAAAUGCUUUGCAAAAUCCUAUUCAUUUACCUUUGACCAUUUGCAAAAGAACUUUGAAAAGGAUUUACAAAAGAGUUUGCAAAAACAAAACAUGUGGUGCAAGCGUGGUCCAAAAUGUUAAAUAAGAAAGAAACAAUCCAUGCAUAUCUUGUAAGUAGUUAUAUUGGCUCAAUUCCAAGCAACCUUUACACUUACAUUAUGCAAACUAGUUCAAUUAUGCACUUCUAUAUUUGCUUUGGUUUGUGUUGGCAUCAAUCACCAAAAAGGGGGAGAUUGAAAGGGAAUUAGGCUUACACCUAGUUCCUAAAUAAUUUUGGUGGUUGAAUUGCCCAACACAAAUCUUUGGACUAACUAGUUUGCUCUAGUGUAUAAGUUAUACAGGUGUCAAAGGUUCACACUUAGCCAAUAAAAAGACCAAGUGUUGGGUUCAACAAAAAUGCAAAGGAGCAACCGAAGGCUCCUCUGGUCUGGCGCACCGGACUGUCCGGUGCGCCACCGGACAUGUCCGGUGCACCAGAGGACUCAGGUUUCAAACUCGUUACCUUCGGGAAUUUCCAGAGGCCACUCCGCUAUAAUUCACCGGACUGUCCGGUGUGCACCGGACAUGUCCGGUGCUCCAAGGAAGGGCGGCCCCAGGAACUCGCCAGCCUCGGAUUUUCAUUCCAGCCGCUCCGCUAUAAUUCACCGGACUGUCCGGUGUGCACCGGACUGUCCGGUGCAUCUGCGGAGCAACGGCUACUUCAGGCGCCAACGGCUACCUGCAGCGCAUUUAUUGCGCGCCAGCGCGCGCAGAGGUCAGGGACGCCCAUGCUGGCGCACCGGACACUCUACAGUACAUGUCCGGUGCGCCACCGGACAUCAAGGCGGGCCCAGAAGUCAGAACUCCAACGGUCGAUUUCCAACGGCACUGGUGACGUGGCGGGGGCACCGGACAUGUCCGGUGUGCACCGGACUGUCCGGUGCGCCAUCGAACAGACAGCCCAGCCAACGGUCAAGUUUGGUGGUUGGGGCUAUAAAUACCCCAACCACCCCACCAUUCAUUGUAUCCAAGUUCUCUACUUCCCAACUACUACAAGAGCUCUAGCAUUCAAUUCUAGACACACCAAAGAGAUCAAAUCAUCUCCAUAUUCCACACAACGCCCUAGUGACUAGAGAGAGAGAUUUGCUUGUGUUCUUUCGAGCUCUUGCGCUUGGAUUGCUUCCUUCUUUCUUGAUUCUUUCUUGUGAUCAAACACUCACUUGUAAAUUGAGACAAGAGGCACCAAUUGUGUGGUGGCCCUUGCGGGAAGGUUGAUUCCCAAGUGAUUUGAGAAGAGAAGCUCACUCGGUCCGAGGGACCGAUUGAGAGAGGGAAGGGUUGAAAGAGACCCGGCCUUUGUGGCCUCCUCAACGGGGAGUAGGUUUGCAAGAACCGAACCUCGGUAAAACAAAUCCGCGUGUCACACUCUUCAUUUGCUUGUGAUUUGUUUUGCUCCCUCUCUCGCGGACUCGUUUAUAUUUCUAACGCUAACCCGGCUUGUAGUUGUGAUUAUUUUUGAGAAUUUCAGUUUCGCCCUAUUCACCCCCCUCUAGGCGACUUUCAAUUAUAAUAUAUAAUUUUUAUAUAUCUAAAUGAGAUGUUUCAAUUGUUCGACUACUUUAUUGGUAUACUCACGGCUAGUGCUGGGAAUUGGGCCGGGUCGGGCCACCUGGCCCAAGUUCAUCGUGCUUCGUGUCAAACGGGUUCGGGCCAGAAAAGCCCAAGCAAAUUUUGGACCGUGUCGUGCCAGACCGAAGUGUAAAAACAGUGGCCCGGCCCUAAACCACGUCGUGUCUUCGUUGGGCCAUGCCGACCCAAGCCCGACCCGUAUAUUUGACCACAUAAAAUUAAAAUAUUAUAACUAUAUAAAGUUCAUAGCUUACUAAAUUAAAGAUAUUAAACAAUUCUAGCAUCAUUUAACCACAUAAACUACAAAUAUAACAACAAUAUAAAGUCGAUAUCUUACUAAAUUAAAGAAAUUAAACAGACUGUGCUUAAUUGGGCCGUGCCGGCCCAAGCCCGGCCCAUCUAUGCGGGCCGUGCCGGGGGGCCGACGGGUCGGAAUUUAAGGCCCGGCCCAGGCCCGCCUUCGGACCGUGCUAGCCUGGCCCAUAUUAUUUCGUGCCGGUCCGUGCUUUGGGUUCUUAUUUUCGGGCGUGCUCAUGCUGGCCCAAAAAGCCCAGCCCAGAUUCCGAGCCCUACUCACGACGAUGUCCGUUUUUUUACAUUCGAUUCUGAUUUGUUUCGUUCGUUUUGAUUUGUUUUCGUUAUCCUGCUAGUUUUGUUUCCAAUCCUAUUUUCGAUGAUCAUGUUUCUGAUCCCGUUUUCGGAAUAAAAUGUUUAAAUAAAAACAGAAUAGGAGUUAUCCCGACUGAUCAUAUUCGUGACACAAUCCCUUUGUAAGAACAGGAGUUAUCCCGACCGAUUAUAUUCGUGAUAGAAGCGCUCUGUAUCUUUCUCUCCCAGUGCUAUCCAUUCUCGACAAGCAACGAGUUCACGAGAUGACCAUUUCGUCCACGCGUGAAAUGCUGCCUGACUAUACGAAUUCAAACUUGUAUUGUAUAUAUCCUAAUAUCUCGGUCCAAUUUACUUCCUCUCAAAUUAAAAGAACCCUAGCUCAUCACGGCACCGCUGGAGGACCCACCAGCCCAGUCAGAUCCAGCGGCCCGGACGCAUCUGGGCCGUCCAUUGCACCGCCGCCAGCCCCAUUUCCCCGCCCGCGGCCCAGGGUCGCCGUCCACUAGCCUCACAAGUCACAACCCCGCCCGGUCCCAGCCGUCGACAUCCCGACCCCACACGCCAUGCAUCCCCACAUGUCACCCUCUCCCUCGAGGCUUCGACCCACAAGCCGUGUACGCCACACACGGCCACACGUGACACGCCACACCCACACCACACGAAGCGGCGCAUCCCCGUAUAUGAACGCGCACCUCUCCAUAGAAUUUCGCCCCACCACACCAAAACCCGCAUCCAUAAACAAGAAAAAGAAAAGAAAACCCCCGCUGCCAGCGACAGAAGAAGAAGGGGUCCCUUCUCCUUGGUUGCGUUGCGCCUCCCUCCUGUCUGCGUGCGUGCAAUCGACGCAGAGGCGCGGGCGCUCGCACCACCACGACCACGACCCGAUGGCUUUCAUGCGCUCCCGCGUGAGUACUGAGUACCCCGCUCCUUCCUCUCGUCGAUCCGCUCACGCUCUUUGGCUGUUCGCGGGGCGCUGUGGUGUAGAUCCGUGUGGCGUGUGGGAACUGGGUCGGUUCCGCGCGAUCCGGGGGCGCUAGUUCGUGGACGGCUGCCCCGCGUUAGAUCUCCUUGGGAGCGUUUGAUCUGACCCUACCGAAGGUGGUGUUCAUUUGUUCUCACUAAAAUUAUGUGUGCAGGCGUGCAGCUGUAGCUUCGUCGCCUGUAUGGACAUGUUUAUUUGUGAAAUCAAGUGGAUAUGUAAGUCGCUAGUAGAUAUUCAGGAUAUGAGUUUGAGAAUCCGUGCUGGAAAAUGGCUCUAGCUGUGAAAUUGAGGGAUGGGGGUGAAAUUGGAGUUGAACUGUAGAAGCGGAAGUGGGUACGCAGUCGAGACUCAGAUACUUUUUUUUUGUUUAUUACGAUUGGGUUUGUUAUUAGCUCAGCGUUUAGUUCGUCCCUGGGUGAAAUACUAUCAGUUUUGAUAGUUUUCUGGUUUAUCAUGUGCUGUAAUCGCGAAAGGGCCUCUAGCCUUAUAGCUAAGGCUUCCGAGUAGCAUCUCUAGGUACUAGGUUCGAUCCCUCUCCUGGCCGAAUUUCUGGGCUUGGUUAAAAAAAUUCCCUCGCUGUACGUCCUGCCCACUACUUUCCGGUUGGGCCGUUGGCGUUGACGGCCCGCUAGUGAUGGGGGCCAGGGUUCGGGGAUUUUAUCGGCCGGGACCAUGUUUCGGUCUCUUCUUAAUAUAAUACUGGGAGGACGGUCUUUCCCUCUCCGGACGAUUUUUUUAUCAUGUGCUGUAAUCGACACAGUGUAUCAAUAUGUAGCUACUUUAUAAAAAAUAUUGAAAAAUGUAUUAUGCUUGCUUGCAUAGGCUUCUUCAUCCUCUGAUGGAUGAUCACUAAGUUGAGAUAUCUGGAGUAUGCUUCUUGCACUGGAGACUUUCUUGGUUAUCCUAGCUGCCUUUUAGUUUUAGGUAAAUGCGGGCAUGGUGAAGCAUGGUUCUGAUACAGUUGGCCAUCUAGAUUGGAUGCAAUUGAUUGAGUUCAAAUUAGCAUGGAUUAAUGAGCUUUUAGCUCCUAGGUCUAAUCCUGUCUAUUAUCGUGCAAUCACUGAACUGUUCACUUGUCCAAGUGUUUUUUCAUGUUAUGAAGCAUAGUUCCAAUUUCCAAUCCUGGAUAGGGAAUAUCUGGAGGGAGUUUUUUUUUUGUAUAUCUGCCUAAUUUUGGUUAAGCAAGCUUGCUAAAAUAGUGUAACCCUGGAUAGGCGGAUAAUUUUUUUGUAUAGUUGCCUGUAUGUCGAAGGUUGUAACUUUUAUGGAACAGUGGCUACAUAACUACAGUUGAUACAUUGGAUGAUCGGAAUGUUGUUAAUCUGCUAGUUACUACUUAACCUUUGAAAUCAUACAAUUAUCUUGCAUUUCAGUCUGUCUAGGUUUCUUUUAACGUAUCCAUAAUUCUCUGCAGUCAAAUGCAUCUUCUGGCAUGGGAGUUGCUCCUAACAUUAGGGAGACAUUCGUCGAGCUUCAAAUGAAGAAGGCAUUCCGAUAUGUUAUCUUCAAAAUCGAAGAGAAGCAAAAGCAGGUGGUUGUGGAGAAGACAGGGGCUACUACUGAAAGCUAUGAUGACUUUUUGGCCUCUCUCCCAGAGAAUGACUGCCGAUAUGCGCUGUAUGAUUUUGAUUUUGUUACUGGGGAGAAUGUGCAGAAAAGCAAGAUUUUCUUCAUUGCCUGGUGAGAUUCAAAAUCAUUUAUGCAUGCAUCUCUAUUUUGUUUCAUUCAUGUUUAGUCGCAUUAAGCUGUAGUGCUAAUGCCACCGAAAGUAAACUAGAUCUAGCUAAAGAGGUAAACUGUUGACGAGUUGUCAUUUUAGAAGUCUAUGUAUUUGCAAAGAAAAAUACUUGGAUACUUAAAAUGCACCAAACGCAGUAAACUUAACAUGCUAAUCAUUUAGGUGCUCCCAUAUUUUUUUAAAGUGUUAUUAACUCAGCGUUGAACUACAAAGUUGGGUUGGUUGAUUCUACUUUAUACUGUUUGGCGAAAGGGCCUCUAGCUGAGUUGGUUAGGUGGUCUGAGUAGCACUCCUCAGGUCCUGGGUUUGACUCCCCGUGGGAGCGAAUUUUAGGUUGUGGUUAAAAAAAUCCACUCGUCUGUCCCACGCUAAAGCACAGGUCUAAGGCUCAGCUCCGGCCGUGGUCGUUCUCACAUGGGCUUCGAUGCCGCUGUGUAUGAGUGGGGCAGGGGUUCGGGGGUUUUCUCGACCUUUGUGAGAAGGUCUUCUUCUUAAUACAAUGUUCGGGGGCUGUCUUACCCCCGCAGGUCGAGUUUUUUACUUUAUACUGUUUGGUGGUAACCCAUACUAGUUAGUAGCCCUGAACAAAAGGAAUAACAAUGCAUGUGAUGCAACAGUUAAGAAUAUUGUUGGCAAUAAUGAGGUUGAUUUUUUGGACUGUACUACAUGUAUCCUUGUGAUGUCUCGUACCCUUUCACGUUCAACGCAUCCACUCUGUCCUUCCUGUUAGUUUCACUUCACCGAACCUUUUACCUAAUCCGCUAUUAUUCCAGGUCCCCAUCGACAUCCCGCAUACGUGCUAAGAUGCUGUACUCCACGUCGAAGGACCGCAUCAAGUACGAGCUUGACGGGUUCCACUACGAAAUCCAGGCGACCGACCCAUCGGAGGUGGACAUCGAGGUUCUCCGGGAGCGGGCUCACUGAAGCUGGUUCUCCUUUUGAAGGGACCUGUGGAGGGCCGUGAACCUUCAGCCAGAUGCAAAUUCAAUUAUCAACGAUGAAGCUCCCGCCGUGGUGUUUGUUAAUAAGUUCCUGUAAGCAUAUCAUUUAGUCGCUAUGCAUGACACUAGCUGAAGCGCUAUCUAAGCUCUAUUGGUAUGAGGUUUGGUUGCCGUGUUGCCGAGCCUGUAAACGAAGCAAGAUUUGCAAACUUGUUAUAUUGUGGUAUUGAUGAUACUGGAUUACUGGCUGUGGGUUGUUCGGGAAUGUCUCUGCCUCUCUGGUCUGGUGUCUGGACGUGGUUGUGGCUUGCUCGGGAUCGCCCUGGUUGGUCUGGUGUCUGCUGGGUCUGGCCCCCGGACGGUCGGAUUGUCUGCAUCUGUUAGAUGUACUUGUUCUAAUCAAAGCAUGUUCCAAGUUCCUGACCGUAAAUUACCCGUUGCCGUUCAAUGCUUUUGUGUGGAUGGAGACUGGGGGAAGUUUUUUUUAAUCCGUUGUUGUGUUGGCAAGCUUGUUAGGUUCUCACAUCAUCGCUGCUGUUUGUGCAAAUGGUUGCGGUCCGGGACAGUGCAAUCAAACAUCCACCACCGUGUGCCGCCGCCCGAGUCAUUCCAUUUAACGGCAAAGCAAAACAAAAAUCAGAUGGGCAAAAACGGCGUGCAUGACAAAUAUAUCUCCAGCUCCAGCAUUACACUAAUCGUCCAAAGCACUACGUACCAGGAUCUGGCAGCACACUAGCAUUCACACACACCACUAUAUAUUUCGUUAAUUAAUUACACCGAUCAGCGAUGGUGACUAGCAGGAUGAUACACAGAAUUUCUGAAGACCCUAACCUCACACUCCCACUCUCUCUGACAGUUAUUACAACAGCUUAAGGAAAACGAGGCAUGGAACCGUCACCUUCUUCCUCCUCCGUGUUCUGCUUCUUCUGAUGAGCUGAACAACUCCAUGGAAGCGUCUGACGUCGCAGGGGAUCCGGAGCACGCCCUUCUGGUCAUGCCCAAACUCCGCCGCCGCGAGCUCCAGCAGCCCAGCGAAGUAGGGGUGCUGAAGAACCUUCCUGUGAACUAGAACCCUCCUCAGCUCCUCCUCCUCCUUCCCUGCCUCGCCGACGAGCACCGGGACGUGCCCUCGCUGCACCGACGCGCUCUUCCCCAUCCUCCUCUCUGACCCGUGCUCGAUCGACACUCGCUUUGCUAGACGCGCUGUAGUUAAUUCUGGGCCCUCCUGUUUAUAUAUAAUGAGUCCUUGCUGUGAUGGCUGACGACUACCAGAGAUCCAGAUGUUCUCAGUGGAUACGAUCUCGUUUGUUUAUUAUGCAUUUGUUUAUUGCUCUGCCUUGUUUGAUUGGUUCCCUCUCGAGCGACCGGUGUCGGUUUCCUUCGUGACAGUGGGAACUGCCAACGGGUGCGAGGACUAGCAAUUACUGGUGGUGCAACGCUGAAAAAGAAACGAAACGCAGAAUAUUUACCUGGAGGCAAAUUUCUUCCCCCAAGGGUCAAUUUUACGCGAGCGUUUUAUCAUUACCGUACUUACGGGAAUAAAGUACUAUCCAACCAUGAAAUUCCUUAGCACAUACUAAGGUUUUACAUAGACUAACCUCUCAGUUCAGAGAAGUUCUAUAAGUGGAACUCUUACGCUUGAUGACCAGACUAACAUGCAUGGACUCUCCAAAGAUUCAUGACCUUUUUUUUUAAAGUUUUGGUAAGAUGUUUUGUUUGGUGUUGUGCGGAAAACCGUGUUCUUCAAGUUCAUUAACCACAAGCCACCUGCUUCCUUGGUUCACAUGUUUCGAAAACAAAGGCUAGUUAAGUACUACCUCCGUCCACAUGACUUAGUCAUUUUGGAAUUAUACUAAGUUAAACUAUUUAAAUUUUGACCAACAAUAUAUAAGAUUAAAUUACCUUAAACUAAAAAAAAAUACAUAUUAUGGUAGUUUAAGUUAUGAUAAAUCUAGUAAGUUUAUUUUUAUGUUGUAAAAUUUUAUGAAACAUUCGGAUAUAACUGGUGAUUAAUUUACGACAAACCUAAAAC
RNAcentral lists this long non-coding RNA (53062 nucleotides) under Zea mays. RNAcentral's name for it is "long non-coding RNA (ZMAY_LNC002878)". The stretch from base 22 to 98 matches the Rfam family "Small nucleolar RNA SNORD18". Lineage: Eukaryota; Viridiplantae; Streptophyta; Magnoliopsida; Poales; Poaceae. The record is from RNAcentral.